RNAcentral lists this long non-coding RNA (49897 nucleotides) under Lathyrus oleraceus (garden pea). RNAcentral describes it as "Pisum sativum (pea) long non-coding RNA (PSAT_LNC003780)". Lineage: Eukaryota; Viridiplantae; Streptophyta; Magnoliopsida; Fabales; Fabaceae. The record is from RNAcentral.
AAGAAAUUGAAAGGAAAAAAAAUAAAAUCUUUCUAAAAUCAGAUUGCAGAUACAUUGGAAAACUAAGAUUAAAUUGAAAAUUCGUCCACAUACAUCAAAGGCCCAUGGGUUUGAGCAAUUACAAUAGAUUGAAUCUAAUCUGAUAAAAUCUUUCCUAAACAAAUCAAUCAGACAUAAUUUAUGACCUAAUUCUAAAUAUUAUAAAAGCCUAAGACAAAAACUAAAAAAGGACGGAAAAAAUUAGAACAAAAAACCCUAAGUUGCUGCAGAAUCCCAACCAAAACACCAAAGCUCCGAUUGAAGCAUUUAGGGUUUCACAUAGAAACCCUAAGUUGACUUGAGCAUCAACCUCUAUUCAACCACCUGGAACGUACAAAAAAAAGACAGACAAAGGGAGUCAGAGGAAGAGAAAACAAAAAGAAAAAAAAAGAAUCAGGAAAGUUGGAAAUUUUACCUUUACCAGAGAUCCUUAUCUCUAUAGGUUGGUAGACAUUGAUACUUACUCUUUUGUUGUUUCUUAGAUGAGAUGGAAUGUAUAUUAAUAUUUGUUGGUGAUUUGUGUUGUUUUAAUGUGGGUUAGGGUUUGGUUUAGGGUCAUCCAGAAGGGGCUCUAGGUUCUUAGAGUAUGAGAUUUUGUUGAUUGAUUUUCGAAUUUGAGGGUUUAAUUCAUUAGCAAAGUGUUUGAAUUUAUGGCCAGGACUCAAGUUUGGAUGGAUUUGGGUGAGGAAGGUGAGAAUUUGGGUUAGGUGAGUGGUUGGCCGAAGGACGGAGAUGAAGAUUCAUAUUCUCCAAGGUAAGGGUUCUUAGGCUGAUAGGAUUCAUGGGUUAAGGUUCAUGAGUUAGGGUUCAUGAGUUAGGGUUCUUAGAUUAUUAGGGUUCAUGGGUUUGGGUUCUUAGGUCGUUAGGAUUCUACUAGGUUUGUGUUAGGGUUCAUGGAGUUGGAUGAAGUCAAUGGUUAGGGUUCAUCAAUUGGGUAGGGUUAUAAGGGCUAAGGUUGAAUGUUUGAAGAUCUAGGUUGAACUUCAACCAGAGAUCUGAGGGUCACGAUGGUGCUAAGGAUAGAAAUAGUGGGGGAUGUUAGUCAGAAGGGAGAGCAUGGAAGUAAGAGAGAAAAGGAGUCUGAAAGAGUGAUAGGAGUGAGAGAAGAAAAGAGGAGAAAAUAAAAUGAAAAUUGGGAAAAGGGGUUUUAAUACUCCCUAGGUUGGGCGCCAGAUCAUCAACACGUGGCCCCCUGAUGGCUGCGCGAUUAGAUGACUUUGACUCAUCUAGUGUGUGUGUUCUUAUCGUCUUCCCUUUAUUGACUUCCAAUCUCAACCUUUCUUUCAGGUUACCUUGACUGGUAUGCUAAGUGGAUGUUUGUGAUGAGUUAUCAUCUGAUCUAUUGGAUUAGGAUCUAACGCCCUAGAGAGAGUCAACCUUUGACUCUCUCCCAUGGACCUAAGACCAGCGCAUUGGGCCUUUCAACUACUAGGAUUAGCACUUUUUCUAUCCCAUACCCCUCAGUUUACCAGCCCAAAGGCUUCUGCAUCCCCAACCUUAUUAUUUCUUAUUUCUCUUUUACUUCUUUCUUUUCUUUUUGAUAUUUCAGUUAGACUAUUACUUAGUUCAUUAGGGUAAUUUUUAAGGUAAAAUAGGAUUAAUUUAUGAUUAAGUGAAUUAACUUAGGAUUAGUUAUGUAAAUUUAGGUUAUUAUCUUAAUUAUAUUUUAAUUUAAGUUAGUUUUUUUCUAAAUCAUAAAAAACAAAUUUAUUUCUUUGUAAUUCACUAUUCAAAAACAACACAAAUAAUAACUAUGUAUAUACGAUGGAUUUAUUUUCUAAACUAAAUUAAAACUAUAUUUUGCAAGCUAAAUUGGUUGUGUGUCACGCCUUAUCAAUCUAUAACUCAACUCAAAAUUUAAAAUCAAUCCAAACACAUCAAAUACUCUUUUCUCCGCCCUUGUGCGUUGAGCCCUUUUUUGAAAUAAACUUUUCUGCAUCCCUGAAUGAUAUGCAUGAAUGCAUGAACGUAUGGAUGCAUGCAAAAAUGAUAUUUUUAAGUUUAUAGGGAAUCCUGGGAUUGUCAAUUGCAUAUGAGUAGACAUAAAAUUACAGAAAAUAAGACAAAAGAUAUAACCAAUAAUGGAAAAUACUCAUUUUAUUCACCGGGGAAGAACAAAGAGUACAUUAUUAAAACUCUGGGAUUUGCUCGAUGAACUACAAGAAGAUCAACUUUGAACCUCUCAAUCACAACCCUACAAAAAAAAGUGAAAGACAACCCUAGGAGUAUUGUGUGGAAGCAUGUUUGCAUAAGCUUCCUUCAGCAUGCCCGAGAGAUCUUCAAUUGUAUGGUCAACAAACCUAGCCAAGUGUGCAUGUUUAUCCCUCCAAUAUUAUGCAUAAUUUAGGAGAUUAUGCAAUAAAGUGAGGAUAGAUCCAUGUAAGAGUAUUUGUAGAAAUGAUUAUUUCUGAUCAAGGAGAACUUUGAGGUAACGACAAUGUCGCUCCCAUUAAGAAUCUUAUUUGUUGAGUUGAUUAAUAACUUCUUAACUCUAAUGUGCUUUCCCUUUCAACUCUAUGAUUUCUUCAAAAACCUUUUCGAUAUCACAUUGACAUCGGUAAAGAGAAACCUCAAGCUUCUUAGCAUUUAUUUUCUCUUUCUUCAACUGUUCUUUGAAAUCUUUCAGUUGGUCUCGAAGUUCUUUGAGUUGGCCUUCAUAGCUCUCUUCCAUCUCUUUGCGAGAUUUCAGAGUUUGCUUCCAAUUGGUUACCACUUUUCUAGCAUGACACUGAGUCUUAGCAAGUUGAUUUUUCUUUGUAGAGAGGCCAACAUAAUUUCCCUUAAGAGCUUCAUCCACCUUUCUUCGCUUGUUAUGUUCAUCUUGAGCAACCUCAACAACUUUGAGCGUAUGCUCUCUCUUCUGGUUGAGAUUGAUCUUCAAAUCUUCCUUCUCUUGAGUAAAUCUACCAAGAUCAGAUUGCAAAUUUUCAUUCUCCUUUUCCAAGAGCUUGAUAGCAUCCUUAAGCUUGUCAACUUGCGAGAUAGGAACAAUAGAAGGUAUAAGAGGCUUUAGGCUCAUGGAAAGUUCCCAAGGGUAGGGAAGUUUUACGACUUUGACUCUUUGCUUGACCCAAUAAGUGUAAGGCUCCAAAGUAAUGCAACUCUGUUUUCCAAGUUCCUUUUCCCUAAUGUGGUGGAUUUUUCCUCAUGCACAAGGUAUCUAUUUCAGCAAUUAAGGAUCAUCAACCCCUUCAGCUAACACAAAUUCUUCCAACAAUUCGUCCUCAGGUUUGUUCUCCACUAGGUAACCAAGUUGAUGCAAUGAAAGAACAAGAUUGUAGUUAAUACUUCCCUUAGUACCAAUGAUAUGCACAUUAUGAAAGUCAACAUAACUAAAUAAUUUAUAUAUCCCAUCAUAGCCAUGGUUGUACCACACUAUAUCAUCGACAUUCAAAGACAUAAACCUUUGAGACCACUUCAGAGCUCCCAUAUUAUCAACAAAAUGCCAUUUCCUUGGUAAGUGGGUCAGAAGCCACUUAUAAAGCAAAGGAACGUAGUAGUUGAUCAUCCCAACCUUCUUUUUAUUCCUCCAAUGGAAGGAAAAAUAGAUAUCGCCCAGAAGUGUGGGAACAAGAUUUCUGGAUAAGAAGAUGUUGUCAACAACCUUAUUAACGAAGCCUUCAACAUUUAGAAACAAUAUCAAACCAUAAAUGAGGAGAGAAAAGAUGGCAUAUAAAGCAUCCCAACUUCCACUAUCAGCAAAUGUGGUAUCUUUUUCAAUCAGAAACUUUGAGGGAAAUCCUCUGGUGUUGCCUUUGGUACGAAUGUUAGAUUCAACCAUUUCCUUUUUUAGAUGAAGAGCUUGAGCUAUCAGUGCAGACUCUGGAAAACCAUCCAAGAUUAUGUAUGGAACCUAAUAUUUGGUUGGAAUAUGUAAGAUAUGAUCAAACUCUUCCAAAGUAGGAGCGAAUAGGAAAUCCUAGAAGGUGAAACAGUGCAGAGUAGGAUCAUAGGACUGUGCAAAUGCGAGGAUCAAGCUAGUGUCCUCCUUAGUAAGAAGAAUACUACACAAGUUUCCACAAGUCUUCUUGAAGGCAUAUAUGUGAUCAUCAACUAAGUGAGCUCCAAUAUUCCUUAACUCAUAUAGCUUGGGUUCCCUGAGUUUGUACUAGAAAGUGUUUCUUCUGUCGGAUUUUUCUAUAACUGAAUAUUUUAGUAUUACUGGAUGAUUGUGGAUUCCUUGAAAAUCAUGUACAUGCUAAAAUGAAUUUCAUGUGGAUUAAAUGCAUACAUGUAUGCAACAUCCAUGUAUUCAAAGGUUCGUCGUAUUCUGCAUAAUCUGAAUAUACUUCUUGAUGCAGGUUCAAAGGUCCGACAUAUUCAUGAUAAUCAAGGUAUGUAGAGUUUUGGGUUUCCUGUAAACGCAUAUCCCCUCAUAGGUAGCUAAUAUUCUUCAAAGAAAGAGGUUUCUAAAAAGGUCCUUAGAGUCACAGACCCAUUUUGAGAUACCACUACCUAGAAUGAAUGACUCGUCGGACAAUGAUGCUCCCAAAAGGAUCUACUUUAGGGAUGGCGUCUCGUGUUAACGACGAUCGAGGCAUAACACCAAGGAGGUCAACAUGACUCUACCACUAACUAUCCUGUGUGUAUACUCAAGCUCGGGUAUAGAGAUUUUCUCUCAUGUAACAUCAUAAACCUCAACCCAUAACAGAGAAUAUAACAGAUAUUCAAAAUAUGAUAAAUAUAUAAAGCAAUAAAAGCAAUAAAAGCAAAGCAUGUAAGAGUAAAUAAAGAUGAAAUAAGAUAUGGAAAGUAAAAGAAUAAAGCUAAACACCAAACACACAAAUAAAACAACCAAAACUAGGCUUGACUUACUUAUGGACUCCCUAGCAGAGUCGCCAACUGUCAUGCCACGAAAAAUACCCAAGCGCAUCACACGCUUGAAAUACAAUAGAGUCACCACCAAACUUUAUUUAUUCCAAAGGAAAGGGAAAAUAUAGAUAAAACCCAGGGGGAAGAGAAAGAGGGUAAUGAAGUCGGUUAUGCAAGGGGAAUGUAUUAACACCUCUUACAUCUGUUGUACUCAACAGGAACCAUUUUGAUUGUUCUUUGGGUGGAUGGGUGUUAUUAUCUAAAGGUUACUUGCGAUUGAAUUUAAUAAAGGGGAAAAUAAUUUUAUUAAUUAAUGUGUUCGCCAAGGAUUCAAACCCUAGUUCCUAUGUAUUCUCAUAGUACAAUGAGAAAAUCAGAGCUCCAUAGUUCAUGGUAGAAAACUACGAAUUUGUUGGUUGCUUUUAGUAACAGUUAUAAUCAUAUCUUGGAAGUAGUUUGAUGUUAUCUGAUUUGAUCCUAGUUCUGAUGCUCUAAGCUUUUAGUAUGACUGCUAAGGAACAAAUUAUAACAAUUCUUUUUGAAAUGAAAGAAAUUUGUUCUUUGAAAAGGUUUAAGAUUGAAUUGAAUUGAAAAAGCUUAUGAAUGUUUGUAAAUAUUUGUGAAAUGGUGAAGGUGUUGUUUAGUAGGGUGAAAGUAUUGAACGAUAUGGUGAAAGUAUUGUUUGUACCAAGAUUGUAUUGUUUGAACCUAUAAAGUGGUGUCUGAACCAUGAAAAAGAAAUAAAAGUGGUGUUAAAAACCAAAGAGAAAAUAAAUGUGGUGUUUAAACCAAAGAUAUGGAUGUUUUAACCAAGAUGGUGAUUAACCCAAAGAGAAAAUACAAGAGUGGUGUUUAAACCAAAGAUAAAAUAAAGUGGCACUUAAACCAAAGAGAAAAAUAAGAGUGGUGUUUAAACCAAAGAGUAUGGCGUUUAACCAAUAACUGGUGAUUAUCCAAGGAGAAAACAAAAGUGGUGUUUAAACCAGGAGUGUGGUAUUUAAGCAAUAAUUGGCGAUUAGCCAAGGUAGAGUUGUAGGAUUUUUCCUAGAUCGAGAAUAAAGACCUAUAAAUAGGGGGUUUUCCUAAGCAUUGGGCCUGACAAGGAAAAUAUGCAUGAAAAGGGGUUUUAACCAUAAGAAGGUGAUUAACCCAUGCAGGAGGUAUUUAACCAAUAACUAGUGAUUAAACUCAAGUGUUGUGUGUGGUUCAGAGAUGUGUGUUUAACCUAGAGAAUGUGAUUAACCCAUGUAGGAGGUGAUUAACCAAGAGUAGGUUAUUAACCUCAAGAGUUAUGUAUAUUCAAAGAUAAUUGUGUUUGAUCGAAAGAGAAAGGUAUAAUUUAUGGGGAUUGUUGAAGUGUUGUCUGUGGGGAAGAAAGUUUGAAAGUUGUUUGAUUUGAAUUACACUAAAGUCUAUGAAUGGGGGUGAAUUCUUUGAAUAACUGGGGCAUUUGUCUCGUAUCUAAAGGUAUUCAUAACAAGGGUAGGAAAUAUCCCUCUCAUUUUUUUCCAUUGCUUAAGACUUGUGGCACACAAGUCACAUCGUAACUAACAGGUGUUUUGAAAGAGAAGAGUCUUUUUGUUUGUUUUGAAAAGGGUGAGGCAAUGUGAUUGAAUGGAUGAAGCUCGACAUGAUCAUGUCUUGAUGUUCUUCCUUCUUCAUGAUGUCCUGAAUGUGAAUGAUGAGUUGACUUUAUAGGUCAAGUUUAAUGCAAGUGUAAAAACCUAAUUAAAUCAAGUGAUCAAGGGACUUUUGGUCACUUGAAUGAAUAAGGAUCUUGAGGGGAGCAUGCCAUUGUUAAUGAAAAGUCAUACAAGUCUAAUACUAAAUGUAAUUAAUUAACCAAUAAUGAACUUGACCAACUAAUCAAGGGGAUGAACAUUCCAAGAAUCAUACACUAAACACAUGAAAAUAUGAUAAAGAAAACAAUGGAUUAAAAAUUGAAAUUAAUCAAGGUUAAUCCAAAUAUCUAAUGUGUUCCUAAUUAAAACAAAAGGGGAUUAAAUUAUAACUAAAAUGAAUCCAAUCUAAUUAAAAUAUAAUGAGAGGGAGCAUGAUGUUUUUUAUGUAUAACAAAAAAAGAAAAGGAUUAAAAGAGUAAGAAAAAAACAAUUCAAUAAUAAAUAAAUAAAACACUCUGCAGGGGGUGUAUUGCUAAAACAAUGGGUUUGAUCAGUAAAAGGCGUUCGGACUAGCAUUGAAGGCUCGUGAUUGUUUGAGUCUUGUUUCAGAGAGAGGAUGUGUGUAAGAAACCCUAGGGUGUGUGGCAGUAAAGCCCAUUGGGCUUAGUGGCUUGAAGGCCCAACGCUAAUGGGAAAAGGGUGAAUGAAUCAGAAUCAUCACCUCAUUUCAUUUUCACACUUCAACCACGCUUCUCUCCCUCUCUUAUGAAGAAUCUCAUCGAAAAUAGCUCUGCCGUGCCGGAGGCGGCUGAGCAACCCAGUUCACCCUAAAACCACCACCAAUCUGCUUGUUUCUUCCUCCUCCUUCCAUUUCUCAACUCCAAUUCACCUAGAUUUCAAAGAAAUCUCCAAACCACAAAAAAGAACACAAGAACCCUAAAACACAUAUACAAAAUUAAAUGGUCAUGGAGGGGAAUCAAAGCAAGAAACCUUGGGGCUUUAAUUCCCCUCGUCUUUCUCUACAUCUUGGCAUCACAUUUGAAGCGAAACAAAAGAGUCAAGUGAAAUAUCUUACUUGCAAGGCAGAGGUUCACCCCCUGGUGAUUGCUGAAGAUUGAAGAAGAAGAUUAUGAAGAGAAAACCAGAGAUAUUAACAGGUAUGUACUUCGAUGCUCCAACCUUUCCUUGGAAUAAUUUAUUCUUCUUCUUCUCUUGAACAUAGUCUGUAGGAACUUAAGAAUUUAUGUUGUUGCUAAUGCAUAUAGAGAGUAGAGAGUGUAGAGAGUGUGGCUUCAACUCAGUUGAAGUAAACUUUAGUGUGAAGUUUUCUCAACAACGGCGGAUUGGAGAUUUGUGUAUUGGUGAGGGAGAAGAGAGAUUGAAGAUAAAUUCAGGGUGGAGAUUCAGAGUGAGUGGUUAAAGAUGAUUGAAGAUGAAUUGGUGGUUAUAGAGACAUUGAAGUGGAAUGAGUUUGGUAACUGUUUAGGGCAGAGUUUAGGGCAGGUGAGUUGAAGGUUAGGUCAGGUGUUAGUUUGGAUGGAGAUUAGUUAAUUAGUGAGAAAAGUUGUUAGGAGGUUUAACAUUGUUAGUUUGGUGGUUAAUGAGUUGAAAAUUUAGUUAGGGUAGUUAUGAAUUGUUAUGGUUGUUAUGGAUUUGUUUAGUAGGUUAGUUGGAAUUGUUUGUUUGAAUGUUAGUGAUCUCAAAACUGUGACAGUUAGGUUAGUUAGGUAAGUGGUUAGUGAAAUAUGUUAGGUUAGUUAUUGAGUAUGUUUUGAAAUUAAAACUGUUAUGAUGUAGGUUAUGAGACUGAGUUAGAACUUCUAUGACAAUUACAAUUUGUGGUGUUAGACAGUUAGAAAUUAAUUUGUUUAGUGAAUAUCCUUUUUAAUUGUUAGUGCAAAUGUGAAAUUAUGAAUGUUGAAUUGCUUGUACUGUUAUUGUUGUUGUAUUGACUGAUAUUAGUUGGAAGCUUCAAUGAAAACUAUUAAUGAAUUCGUGUAGAAAUAAUAUUGGUUAGGAGGUUAUGUUGGAAAUGUAUGAUUGAAUUGGUUAGCUUUUAGAUAGUUCAUUGCUUGAAUUGUUAUGUGAAUUGUUUGAACUAAAUUAGUGUCUUUAGUUAAAAGUUGAUUAAUGCUAGAAGUUUAGAAAAAUAAAAGGUUAAGCUUAUGUUGUUAGCUAGUGAUGAAUCAAGUUAAUUUGUUAGUGAAUUUGGAUGGACUGUUAAAAGCAAGUGCAUUGUCAAAACAUGAUCAAAUUAGUAAUGUGGAAUUAUUAGAUGGUUAGAGUUUUGGAACUGCUAUGUCAUGUUAGUAAGCAUGUUAGUGGGAUUUAAGUGGAUUGGCUUAUGAGUUUAGUGGCAUUGGUGUGUGUUGAAUGUGUGUGUAUGUAUUGAAUGGAUGUCAUGGUUAUACUAGGUAUGAAGCAUAAUUGAGUUAUGUGAAUGUGUCCUUAUAAUUCUAAAUGGUGCAGGGCUGAAGUGCAUAUGGUGGAGUGAACAAGACUUAGAUUGAAGAUAGCAUCAUCAAGAUUGGCAUGGCAUGCAUAGCAUGGCAUCAUGGUGAUGGAGUUUUGUCAUAUUGUGAAGAAAUUGGAAUUCAUCAAGAACAUGGAGGAUUUGAAGAAUAUUGAAGGCAUAAAUGGAGGAUCAAUAAGGAAGAAGAUCAAAGUAGCCUAGUGUAACACCUCAAAAUUUGCCCUCCUCUUCUUGGGACUAGUUUAGCAUAUUGCAUUUCAUGUUUUAGGACAUUAGGCAUUCGCAUAUUGCAUAUCAUAUGGAAUAAGAUAUCAUCCUCUAAUGUCUUGUUCAGAAGAUGGAGGUGGUAUAUGGUUCAAGCCUGAGGGUCUUAUUGAAUUGAUGAUCAACCAUCUGAGGGAAACGUCACGUAAUCCCAAAGAACUAGGAAGUUUCCAUGAGCAGUGUCUUGAUUGCAAGGGUAUAUUACCAUCAUCAUGGUUAUGUCAUCCUCAAGGGCUUCACUGUGCAUGCUCAAGUUCCUUGGGGUUAGGGUUUUGACCUCUGGUCAACCCUAAUCAAUGCAUUCUUCCAGUCAGGGUUUAUCAAGGAGAUGAGGUAUUUGUUGAUGAUGAAGAUCACAUGGUUAAAUGGAGAGCUUAUAUGGGCUAGGGGUUUCAUUUCUGAGCCAAUUCCUCAAGUGGUGGAGGUUCAAGGUCAUCAGUGCAUUGCCAAGUCAUCUGGCGCCCAUAAAAGUUAACUGAAAGCUAGGAGGUGGAGAAAUGAGUAUCAAAACUUCAUUCAUGUCCAAAAGAGGUUUGUUCAUCAUGUCAAACAUCAAUCUUGAAGAAUUUGAAGCCAGAUCAAAAGUUUCCCAAAAUGAAAAGUGACCUGUAAUUGAAAGUUUCCAAAAAUGGAAAGAUUUUGGUUCAAAUUCAACUUGACUUUCCAACAUCAAAGAAGCUUCAAAUGAACUUUUGGUGUACAUGAAAGUUGAAGAUCUUUCUCUCCUCUUUCCAAAAAGUCCUAUUUCAUGGAUUUAUGAUGAAUGUUGAGAAGUUAUGAUCCAAUGAUUGCAAAGUGUGCAGGAACUUCAACAUGGCAUAACUUUUGACUCAAAACCCAAAUGAAGCCACUUCUUUUGCAAAAUUCUUGUCUGACCUAUAUUUCCAAAUCUUCAUUGCAUUGCAUGAAAUUAAUCACAUGAUCAUUUGUUCAUGCAUGUUCAUUUUGGAGCGAAAGUGAAAUUCAAAUUUGGUGCAAGCUACAAACAUAAUCCAAUCCCAUUGUGUUCUUAGGUGAUUUGAGUGAAUGUGAAGAUUGCAUGCUACUGUUCACGUGUGAAUUUGCCAUGCACCACACACUUUUCAAUUUUGUCAUGCACCUCAUUAUUUGAUUAACUUUUCAUUAACCAUGCUUAAUGAAUUUUCAGCAUGAUUACACAUAGUAUAAGCUUAAUCAUAACAAAUUGUUCAUAACAUCACAUUCUAGAUUCUCAAAUUUGCUUUCCCUCCAUUUUUGCUCUCAUUUCAUAAUUCAAUUUAUUUCACAUAACAUUCUUGAUUUUAUGCAUCAUCAUGAUCACUAAGCUUCAUUGAGUAUGAUCAAGCUUUGGAUUUGAAGAAUUGAGCCAGAAUCAAGCACAUAAGCUCAAGAACAUGAAGAUGGAAGUUUGCAAUUCUGAUCAAGAUCCCAGCCAUUUCAAGCUUCAAUCGUGGCCAAACUUCAAUAUACAAGUGAUAGAGGAGAUCUGGACAUUGCUAGGCCUGAUAUACGUUGUUUCCUCAUUCUCUUCAAGAGGUUGGAAAUUCGAAACUCUUGAUUCUUCUUUUUAUUGCAUAAGACGUUGUAGAGCUUUUCAUGCUGAGAAUUCUGAUAUAGAUUUCAUGGAAAAUGGAUGAAUAUUGGUUGAGUUAUGUUGAUUUGAAGUUUGUGUGUUAAAAAUGUUUUCAAUCGAUUUACAUGAACCAUGGACUUUUAGACUUAAUUAAUGUUGGAUUCGUGUUGUACAUGAGAUAAGUUUUCGUUUGUAUUAAGCCAUGCGCGUUUCUGGAUUUUUUUUUGGUGUUCAUCACUGUAGCUCCGCCGUUCCAAUGAAGAAGACGGUGGAAACCACCGUCCCUCCACCGCGCGUGAAUAGUGUGCGUGCUUCCUGGUUCAAGCGCCUAGGGCUCACUGUUUGAGCGCCUGUCACCAAUGUGUCUCGUGUUCGAUUCCACCUUGCCAUGCAUUUUUUUCAUUUCAUUUGUUUUCCAAUUUUGAAACGGCUGCGUUUUGAUCCUAGCGCGCCAUACCUCCAUUCGAUUCCCGGCUCCAACACUUUUUGUGAUUUAUUUCUUCAGCGCCUUCUAUUUUUUCAUGUACAUGGUUCGAUUCCCACUGACACCAUAUUUUCAAAUUCUAUCAACCUUUUCCAUUUCCCUCCAAUUAUCAUAUGAUUUGCUUCAUUUUAUUUCAAUAUUUUCAUUCAAUUUGCAAAAAUCAUAACAAAUAGAAAAUGAAUCCAAAUCACUUCCAAUUUUUUGCUACAUGUUCAUAUGGAUGCCUAUUAUUUUGUGGUUGUGAUUUCUUGAUUUUAUCAUUUCUGGAUUUUUAAUUGUGGACUGUUAUUUGAACAUGAUGCAAAAUGUGACAUGUUAUACCAAUUCUUUUGUGAAAUGCUCAUACAUUUUCCAAUUGAUUUGAAAUUUGAUAUGCUGAUUCCCAACAUGUUGCUUGAUUUUUGAGUCUUGGUUGUGCAUUUUUAUCAUUCUUCAUCUCUGUUUUAGACACAUGAAUGUAUGGUGUGACAAUGUGUGUCACACAUUUUGAUGUUGCUCUUGUUCAUUUUCAUAUACAUGUCAAUUGAGCUUUUCUGAUUCCAAUUUUUUGCAUGAUGCUUGUGUUUAACAUGUUGUAUGCACAUAAAAAUUUCCAUGGUUAUUUGACUCAUUUCUGUUUUAAUAUGGAAUUUCUACUCUUAAUGUCCAAUUGUGUGCUUUGUAAUUGCCUUUGCCUUAUUUUGUGCUUUAGAUGGCUCUUCUUAUUGAUUUGAGUUUGAUCCUUUUUAGGACAUGUUCUUACAUGAAUAAAUAUGCUUCAUGUUGAAUAUUGGUUGCUGUUUUGACUUUUUGCUUUACCUUUGACCCUAGUCUUGGUACUAGUGGUUUGUACUCACCUUUUGAGCUUUGCAUUUCAAGUUCAAGCUUCUAGUCUUAAUGGUUGAUGCAAUCUCAUGACUUGAGAUGCAAAUCUGCUUUAUCCACUAACCUUUGUUGUGUUGUAGGUUCCUUGGUGAUGAACUCACUUGAGUUGUUGAUUUGUUGACUUGCCUUGUGUGCAUAUUGGUUGUAACAUUGUUGACUGUUUGUUGGAUUUGUCUGAAUGUGAAUAUUGACUUGUUUGACUUUGUUACAGGUACUUUAGUCGCUUUAGCUCAUUGCUUGAGCUUUGCUUUGCUUGUGGUUGGUAUACCACUAAGGUAACCUCUCUAACUCCAUGUAGUCUGGAAGCCCUGUCGCUUUUUUGGCAGGCGUUUGGCUGAAGUCCUCCUUAAGAGGCAAUGACUGUGUUUGUUUACAUUUGUGCUGUUACUUGUUAAAGUCCAGUAGUCUGGAAGCCCUGUCGCUUUUUUGGCAGGCGUUUGGCUGAAGUCCUCCUUAAGAGGCAAUGACUGUGUUUGUUUACAUUUGUGCUGUUACUUGUUAAAGUCCUCCUAAGUGAAGAGGCAAUUGGCAGAUAGAAGCGAUUAGCAAUCAAUCCCCUGCUAAUCGUUUGAGUCGUUCAUUAAGCUCGCACUACGUGCUGAUGCUCUUGAACCUAACCCAAGAUCUUUGUAUAUAGAGUCAGUCAAGUGGAGUAGGGUCCCACAUUCUGGAUCCCCAUGUUUUCAUUUAUUCAAGCUCACCCAGGCCAGGGUUAAGAGCUAUGAGGUCCAACCCUCAUUACCUUUCAUCUUCUCACCCUGACGGUCAAUGUCAGUGGUUAAGAGCCUCAGACACCCCUUCCAGUGUUGGCUUGUUUGUCGAGGUUGAUAUGACCCCUUGACUAAAGCCCAACCUUAUAUGAGCCGCUUGUGUGCAUAUAGAAUGUGAUGAUUGCUUUUAAUGUUUAUCUGCUUUUGCUUCUCAUCUCCUUUCUGUAGGAGUCGUAUGAUCAACUUUCGAGGAAGUUGAACGUACGUAGAGAUAGACUUGAGUUGACUCACUACCUGUGUGAGUCAAACUCUUGUUAGAGACCUCAACCUAGGGUUAUAAUUUGCAUGAUGACUAUUAGGCUCGAGUCAGUCUCUCUUUUAGUCUGUUAUUCCCUUGGUCUCUGGUUAGGAGAAAGUUUCUCCCCUGUUAAGGGGAACUACGUUGCCCUGAUCCUCAUACCAGAUGAGGUACGUAGGCAGGAGAUCGUGCGAGAUCUCUCCGGGCACCCUUUUUCUUUUUUGCGUGUGUUUUGCUUGACAACUACUAGGCUCGAUUUCAGACUCCCUUUUAGUUUGUCAAUUGGAGAACCUUUGGUGUUCGCUGGUUAGCGAUUACUUAUUUGUUUGGAGUCGGAUGUAAGUCCAGGUUUGGCAUUCUGUUUCCUGGUUUGUUUGUGUUUGGAGUCGGAUGUAAGUCCAGGUUUGGCGUUCAGUUUCCUUGUGCUGUUUGUUUGGAGUCGGAUGUAAGCCCAGCUAUUGGCAUUCCGUUUCCUUGUUGAGUUUCUUUUGACGUCUCAGCGUCUUUGUGUUGUGUUUUGUUUCGGCGUGCGUUAGCCGAACUACGACAUCUCUGAUUCUCAUUCCAGAUGAGAUACGUAGGCAUAGGAUGCGAUAUCCUAGCGAGCCCGUUUCCCCUUGUCCCCGAACUACGUCGACUCUGAUGUUUGUGUCUGACAAACUACGUAGGCCCAGGAUGUGACAUCCUGCCGAGUCCCCUUCCUCCAUCUUCUUUCACCUUUUUGCUUAUUCCAGUGUGUGUGCAUUCUUUGAGCAGUUUUUCAGCAACCUUUUUCUAUUCUUUUGAGCGUGGAUCCCGUCGAGUACGACGGACGUGAGGGGCGCUAAUACCUUCCCCUUGCGUAACCGACUCUCGUACCUUGCAAUCUCUGGUCGUAAGACCAUUCCUUUCCCUUUUUCAGGUUUACUUCGAGCGUUUCCUUUCCCUCCUUUGGGAUAAAUAACGCACGAGGUCGUAAGACCAUUCCUUUCCCUUUUUCAGGUUUACUUCGAGCGUUUCCUUUCCCUCCUUUGGGAUAAAUAACGCACGGUGGCGGCUCUGUGUCUUUUCCCGCCGGUUGUUUUUCGUGUUGCGACAGUUGGCGACUCUGCUGGGGAAUAAUAAGAAGUUGACCUCUGACUGGUCCAUCUUCCCUAAGCUAGUCGAUCCUAGCGCUCUUUAGGAUAAUUUUGGUUGCUUUUGCUGCUCUAUUUAUUGCAUUUAUGAUUAUUAUACUAUGAUUGUAUAUAUUUGUAUAUGUGUUUGCAUGCAUCAUAUUAUCAUUGUGCUGGACUUUGUACAGGUUGGUUCCUCUGAUUUGGGGUGGGUGUUCUGAGUGGGGCUAAAACCCAGACCCGAGUAUACACCUAGGAUUAGCGUGGUCUCACGUUCUUUCCCGGAUCUUUGGUUUAGAUGAUCUUAUGAGAGCUGCAACGGCACACCCGAAAGGGCAAACCCGUUAAGUAUCUUGUCCGAUUGUCGAGACCAUUAUCCGCCUUAGGAUGACCUUGUUAGAAUUCACCUGUGAGGGGAGGGUUUGAUUCCUGCAGAUGCAUGUUCUGAUGGUGACUUUCUGAUGGUGACUAUUGGUUCAGUUUUGAGCUCGGUCCUAUGUGUGAGGCGGAUUUAUGGAUUUAUUUCUGAGAUGCCGGAGUUCUGUCCGUGGUAUUUAUCAGUGGGGAUCCGUUUAUUUCAGGAUUCCCUGGGUUGGUACAGAUGAUUUUGUUGUUAUCAGAUCAGUGGUUUUCCAGUGAUGAUGGUGAUAUAUCCUUCGGUUCCGUUUAUUUCGGAACUCUGAGUUGGAUUUAUGGUUGCUCAGUACCUCAGAUGGUUGUGAUUAGUUUAGAGACCAGGGCUUCCAUGCAGUGGAUGUUCAGAUGACUUGGAGGAUGGCAUAGUGCAUUGCAUUCAUACAUCAACAUCAUUCCCAUCUUGCAUUUAUCCACAUCUAACUCAUGUUUAUCCAUAUGCAGGGGACAUUCUUGAUUGAAAUCCUGGUUGAGAGACUUCUUUGCUCCAGAUAUGAGGCCCGACUUGAAGAAUGAUGUUGUAUACAGUUUCUUUGAUCCAGAGAUUGAUGCACUGAAAGAGAUGAUAGCAUUGAUUACACCUGACCAUGUGGGGAUGUUCCGUGAGGCUUAUGGACUUGAAGAAUGAUGUUGUAUACAGUUUCUUUGAUCCAGAGAUUGAUGCACUGAAAGAGAUGAUAGCAUUGAUUACACCUGACCAUGUGGGGAUGUUCCGUGAGGCUUAUGGGGGUAUUCUGAAGGUGUUUUUCAGGCUUACAGAUGAUGAUAGGAGCGUCAUCCAUACUCUUCUCCAGUUUUAUGACCCUGGUUUGAGAUGUUUCAUCUUCCUGGAUUACCUGUUGGGACCUUUGAUGGAAGACUAUGCCAGUAUCCUGGGUAUUCAGGUCAGGAACCAGAUUCCAUUCUAUGUCACUAAGGAUGAACCUGAUGUUGCUGAGAUCUCUCGUGCUCUUUAUUUGAUCCCAGAAGUGACUAAGGGGGGUUUGAAGGAGAAGGGAAAGUUGCCUGGUUUUCAUUUGAGUUUCUUGGAGGCCAAAGCCAAGGAGCAUGUUGUUUUAGGUGAUUGGAAGGUUGUCUGUGCUCUGCUUGCUGUGAGCAUUUAUGGAAUCAUCUUGUUCCCUAAUCAGAAGAACUUUGUAGACAUUAAUGCCAUCCGGGUGUUUGCGCAGAGGAAUCCUAUUCCUACCUUGGUUGGGGAUGUCUAUUACUCGGUCCAUAAUCGGAACGAGAAGCGGCGUGGUGGAUUGAUCAGAUGUUAUGCUCAACUAUUACACAAAUGGUCCAUGGGAUAUUUGCCUUCCAGAGGUGCCUUUGUCUUUCUUGACCAUACUGUGAAUUGGGCGACCAAACUGAUGGGUUUGCGAGCCAAGGACAUAGCUUGGACUCACAAUGGUGUGGCGGGACGAGACUUCAUUUACAGUUGUGGGAGCUUUCCCAAUGUGCCUCUCAUAGGAGUUCAGGGUUGCAUUAAUUACGACCCGACGCUUCUUAGGAGACAAAUGGGGUUUGCUAUGGAGGUUCCUCCUCUCGAGUGUGAGAUUCAGGAGUCUUUCUAUUUCCCGGCUGAGGGUAAUCCGACACGGUUGAGGCAAGUGUCUGGAGCAUGGCGUAACAUUCAGAGAAAGGGCAAGGUUCCUUUUGGUAGGGUUAAUAAUAGGUCUUUUCCUCUGUUUGAUGAUUGGCUCAGAAAGAGGAUUGAGCUCACGCAUCUACCAUUUCCUGGGGGUGAUCCUUGGUAUCCAUUGAUUGAGGGGCCAUGUUCUUCUGUCAGUAUGGAAGAAUUCCUUGAGAUGAAGAGGGAGAGAGAUCAACUACAGGCAGAGAAGAUUGAGUUGGAAAUGAGUGUUGCUAGAAUCCAAAUGGCUAAUCAGGAAAUCAAAGGGAAAAUAGAAGACCAGGAUAAGAGGCAUGCCUUGGAGGUGAAGCGCUUUGAGAUAGACACCGCCUAUUACUGCAAGAUCAGCCAAGCUUUGAAGUCAUCUACAAAGGAGCACGAUAUCACCAAGGAGAAGUUGGCUAGAGCUUUGAGAGUCAUUGAAGAUGAGAAGAAGAGACAGGUCCUUGUGAAGACUCAGAGGGAAGCCAAAGUCAAAGUCCUUAUCGCCGAGUGGGAAGCAAAGCUGAAGGUUAAGGAAGAAGAGAACGCGAAGAUUAUUGCUGAGAGAGAUCACUAUCUUGCUGAGAGGGACCAUUAUUUCCGACAGAUGAAGAUUCACCAGAAGGAGGUGGGGAGACUGCAGCAGGAGAACACUGAGCUCAGGUUCGCCGUGAAGUUUACCAAGAUGGUUGAUGAUGCAGAGCCGUCUAUGGGACCUUCUUCAGUGUAGACUUUUGUUGUUAUGUGUGGAUUACCGUCAGGCAUGUUGACGGAAUUCACGUGCUUGUAUUUUCUUUCUGAUUCUGGAGAAUUGUAAUUUGAUUUGUAUCAGCCUGAUGUAUGACUCUCGCACGUACUGUGCGCUUUUGAUAUACAAUGGUUGUUAUCAUUCGGUGAUCGAUCUUCAAGCUUUAUUUGCUUUCUGUGCACUCACAUAAUACACACAUGGUCGGGUGAUAUCUUUGCUAAAUCAUAACUCUCUGCUCUGUAUGGUGAAACCAGAUGAUUGAUGCCAAAUUGUUGCUGGCGAAUUAUUAUCUGUCUCGACGAAACCAGGAUCAAAAGACAGAGUGUUCCUCAUAUGGAUAGACAUUGCAUUCAUGCGUGAGUCAUAAUAACCUGUCUUCUGUUUUGCAGGUGUCAGUUUCUAACAUGUUUGAUUGACUCAGGAACGAUGAAUCCACCCAACGCUGACAUUCUCGAGCUGAAAGAGAAGAUGAGUGAGCUGAUCAGUGUCAUGCAAGAGUUCGCCUUGGGGCAGAAAGCAAUCGCCGAGAAGGUGGAGAGGAUUGAGAGCUGGCUGAAGAUGGGGAAGAUACAAGGAAAUGCUUCGUCGUCUGGAGUAAAGAAGCCCUUUGGCGAUGGUCAGCGCGAGAAGGAGGUUGAAUCAAGUGAUGUGUCUGCCCAAAGGGGACGCGGUAGCGAUCGUUAUCACCCGUAUGCUGCUACAGUAAUGAUUCCUGCUGGUAAUCAAUCUGUACGACAGUAACAGCAGCCACCUCAACAAAGAACACAAAGAGUUGGGUGUCAAGCGAGAAGAAGGAUGACUGAUCGUCAGUUUGAUAAGCCACCCAUGGCGUAUGCUCUUCUGUUUAAGAGGUUGAAGGACCUUGGGUUGGUUCAACCGAGGACGUUGGCUCCGGUAGGAUCAUACCAAAGGCUUGCAGGUUACAAUGAGAACAUCAAGUGCGAGUUCCAUUCUGGUGCACCCGGGCAUAGCAUUGAGGGUUGUAAAGCUUUUAAGCAUGUCGUUCAAGAUUUGGUGGAUUCUAAAGCCAUCAAUUUUGCACCGACACCGAAUGUUAAUGCUAACCCCAUGCCGGUGCAGGGUCCUAUGGGGGUGAACGUGAUGUCAGAAGAUAAGAGAAAAAUAGAGGUGACAGAUGUGGAUCAGUUGAGGACUCCAAUGUCUGUGGUCAAGAGACAUUUGAUGAAGAAUGGAGUUUUCCCUGGCUGUGAUAAUUGUUGUGCUGCUUGCACUGUCACUACGAAUGGGUGUGUGAUGUUGAGGGAGACGAUUCAGAGAGUGAUGGAUAGGGGACGUCUCCGAUUUGAGAAAGUUGAUUGGGGGGAAGAAAAUAUCUUUGUCAACCAACUGUCAUCGUUCAAAUAUGUGGAAAUGGACGGUGAAAUAUGGGAAACACCGAGCCAGGCAUUCGAAACCGUCAAGGUGGAGAAUGUUGUUUUUGUCAAAGAAGAGAAGAAGCCGUUCAUUUCUUCGUAUAAGCAGGCCACCGAGGUGGUAAAGAGUGGAGAAGCCCCAGGUUGGGGGAGGAUGAUUGAUAUCGCCGCCAAAGAAGAUAGGUUUGGGGUUGGUUAUCGAUCGGACCAGGGCUCGUCUGGACAGAGUAGAGUACGUCGUCAACCAUUCACGUUCACCAGUGCUAGAAUGCUGGAUCCAGAUCGCAUCUGUGCGGUGGGUGAAGAGAUCGACAGUGACUGCGAGCUCGAUGGUUGGAUAAAACCGUGCGUACCAGGGAUGGAAGUCCAGAACUGGAAGGCCGAAAAGAUCAUCACUGUCACUCUACGUGAAGAGUAAUAUUUCUGUUUUUCAAUACUGUUUGCAUGAAAGCCAUACGUUUUGCUCGAAACGUAAUGGUUCAUUGUAAGGGCCACCUCAUGUGUUUCAUUUUGCAACAUUUUGCAUCAGUAAUAAAUGGAUGAAAAAGUGUAAUUUUCGCCACAAGGGACAAAAAGUAAAUAAAAACGAGUUUAAAAAUAACAAUAAAAAUGGCAAUGUUUAUUUUCAUUUUUCUUUCCUUUUGAUUGGCUUCGUUCCGACUUUUUUAUUCUCCGGAUCUCAUUGAUAACAAUCCUGUUACACCCUCAUAUGACUUCGACAAUCCGAUCUAUCAUGUCGAAGAAGAAGGCGAAGAAGAUUGUGAACUGCCGGAGGAAUUAACCAGAGUGUUGAAACCAGAGGAGAAGGUGAUUCGACCGCAUGAGGAACGAGUUGAGCUUGUUAACCUGUGUACCGAGGAGGUCAGGAAGGAAGUGAAGGUUGGGGCCGCCUUGGAGGCGAGUGUCAAGAGCGGAGGUGAUGCGAUUCGGUCUCAAGAACGCCGGUGCCACGUAUCAAAGAGCUAUGGUGACUUUGUUUCAUGAUAUGAUUCAUCAUGAAAUCGAAUGCUAUGUUGAUGACAUGAUAGCAAAGUCCCAAACAGAAGAGGGGCAUUUGGAAGACUUGGCCAAGUUGUUUGACCGGUUGAGACAAUUCAAACUGAGGUUGAAUCCAAAUAAGUGCACUUUCGGAGUGCGGUCCGGUAAAUUGCUGGGGUUUAUUGCGAAAAAAAAAAGGAAUUGAGGUUGAUCCUACUAAAGAAAAAGCAAUACAAGAAAUGCCUGAACCGAGAAUAGAGAAGGAGGUUCGUGGUUUCUUAGGUAGAUUGAACUACAUUUCACGGUUCAUAUCUCAUCUAACAGCCACGUGUGAACCCAUAUUCAAAUUGUUGAGAAAAGAUCAAACGGUCAGGUGGAAUAAUGAUUGCCAAACGACAUUUGAAAAGAUAAAAGAGUAUUUGCAGGAGCCUCCGAUUCUGAUGCCUCCUGUGGAGGGACGACCAUUAAUUCUGUACUUGACAGCCCUCGAGGGGUCUAUGGGGUGCGUACUGGGGCAGCAUGACGAGUCUGGUCGAAAAGAGCAUGCAAUUUACCUUAGCAAAAAGUUUACCGACUGUGAAACAAAAUAUUCACUGCUCGAGAAAACUUGUUGUGCUUUGGCAUAGGCUGCUCGCUGACUAAGACAGUAUAUGCUGGUUCAUACCACUUUAUGGAUUUCCAAGAUGGAUCCGAUCAAGUAUGUAUUUAAGAAGCCAACAUUGACCGGACGGGUUGCAAGCUGGCAAAUGAUUUUAACCGAAUACGAUAUUCAGUAUACCUCUCAGAAAGCAAUCAAGGGGAGUGUAUUGUCUGAUUACCUCGCCCAGCAACCCAUUGAGGAUUAUCAACCGAUGAAGUUUGAGUUCCCUGAUGAGGACAUCAUGGUUCUCGAUUCGAAAGAUUAUGAUAAAUCGAUCCCGGAGGAGGGGCCUGACCCCGAAUCCGAACGGAUUCUGAUGUUUGAUGGGGCCGUUAAUAUGAAUGGUCGUGACCUAUGAGGAUUGGCACGAGAUGUUGCCGUUUGCAUUGCACAGGUAUCGAACCUCGGUGCGUACAUCUACUGGGGCAGCGCCUUUCUCACUCGUGUAUGGGAUGGAAGCCGUGCUACCAGUCGAGGUUCAGAUUCCUUCUUUGAGAGUCCCGAUGGACGUGAAACUGGAAAAGGAUGAAUGGGUAAGGACUCGGUACGAAGAGUUGAGCCUGAUUGAGGAAAAGAGGCUGGCAGUCGAUUGUCAUGGGCAGUUGUGCCAGCAGCGAAUGAAGCGUGCUUUUGACAGAAAGGUGCGACCUCGUGUGUAUCACGUGGGAGAUAUGGUGCUGAAAAGGAUCCUUCCUCCUCAGAACGAUCGUAGGGGCAAGUGGACACCCAAUUAUGAAGGUCCGUUCGUGGUCAAGAAGGUUUUCUCUGGCGGAGCCUUGUUGUUGACGACCAUGGAUGGCGAGGAUUAUGGCGAGGAUUUUCCAUCCCCUGUGAAUGCGGACGCAGUUAAAAAAUACUUCGUAUAAGAGACCCGCUGGACGAAAAGAAUAAAAUAGUCCAGGCAAAAAUGGGCAUCCCGGCGAACCAGAAAAAAAAAUGAAAAAGGUUCGGGCAAAAAUUAGGGAUAAAAAGAGAAAAAAACUGUACACCCGGCAAGUAGAAAACCCCGCAAGGGCGACUUGGGCAAAAAAGGGUAUCCCGAUGGACUGAAAACCCGAAAGGGCGAUCCAGGCAAAAGAGGGAUUGAAACGAACAACUGCGUCUAGCAUGAUCGUUUGUGUUUUGGUUAAGACACAUGGAUAAUCCCUGGCAGAGAUCAGUCGGAAAUGUCUUGUUCAGAAGGCAGAAAGCACAGAGAGUCUGAGGACAUGUGGGGUGUAACCGAGUUGGAACUCGAUGAGAUCACGGGUUCACAUUGCCAUUAGGAUAGAUUUUUCCUUUUGUGUGCAAUUACCUCUUUUCAGGGAUUGCUUCCUGUGUAUUGCUCGGUUUUUGAGCCACCUCUUUUCAAUCAAUAAAAUGCAUAUUCAGUCAAAUAAUUUUGUUUUUGGUUUUCAUUACCGCUUUGAGUGCAAAAACAUCCGUUUAUUUUGAUAAAGAAUAUUUGCAUUUUGAGACAUACAGGUCCCUUCCAAUGCAUGUUCAUAAGAUUGAAAGCCUGAAAUCUUAUUCGGAAGAUUGAUAAAGAAUAUUUGCAUUUUGAGACAUACAGGUCCCUUCCAAUGCAUGUUCAUAAGAUUGAAAGCCUGAAAUCUUAUUCGGAAGGUUGAGUGACCUAGGUGUUGAAAUUUUGGCACGCCUGGGGAACGUUUUUAUCUAACGAUCUCUUUUGCAGGUGCUGUUAGAUAUUUUCACUCACUUGCAGGUUGUGAUGUGAAGCUUUUUGACCCCGUGGAGUCCAGUCAGGGACAAGGGAUUGAAGGAUGGUGAAAAGACGGCGAAAGACGUGCGACGAUCCUGGAGGUUUAAUCAAGAAGACUCUUCAAAGUCUGGAAAAGUGGAAAGAUGACACUGGAUUUAGAUGGUGAAUACCAGGGUUCGACGAGUCGACGAGUGUUUCGUGUCAGAUUUUCCUUAUUUCCCCUAGCAGGGUCGGGAUUGUUAUCUCCCCAGCGGGUUCGAGAUCGGUGUUUCCUCGGCAGCCAGGCCUGAAGGUUGUUGUGUCCCCUAGCAGGGUUGAGAUUGUUAUGUCCCCAGCAAGUCGAAGAUUGUUGUUUUCCCCGCAGAGUGCGUUGGUAGCUGUUUCCCUAGCGAAGUCCCCAAGCGGAUCGGGUUUAGUGGAGGUCAUCCCUGGUGAGGGUUGUCCUUUCCCCAGCAGCAGUGUUAUUUCCCGGUAGGUUGGAGAUUUGGAGUGGUACCAGGUUCCUCAGCAGAGUGCCUCGAGCUCCCCAAUAGAGUCCCUUGGAAGGGAUACCUUUUUAUGCAUUCAUCAUUUAGAGAAGCAUAGCAUAUUGCAUACCUUAUUGCGUAGCAUUUCCAUGGUUAUGGAGCAUUACGCUGAAAAAAAUCAUCAUGCAUCGGCAUUGUGAGCAUAAGCUAGUCUCACGCCGUGGUUACCAUUUGAGAAUUGGUUUAGCUGGUUGGUGAAGAUGUUACUCAAGCCGUGGUUACCGUUUGAGAAUUGGUUUAGCUGGUUGGUGAAGAUGUUACUCAAGCCGUGGUUACCGUUUGAGAAUUGGUUUAGCUGGUUGGUGAAGAUGUUACUCAAGCCGUGGUUACCGUUUGAGAUUUGGUUUCGCCGGUUGGUGAAGAUGUUACUCAAGUUGUGGUUACCGUUUGAGAUUUGGUUCCGCCGGAUGGCGAAGAUGUUAUUUUGCGGAGUUUAGCAUCAUGACGUUGGAGCAACAAUGUUCCCCAGUAGUGCGAUGUUGGAGGAAAAUUUUCCGUCGAGCGGAGAUGGAAAUAAAGCUUAAAGAACGUUACGCGAUCAGCACGAAAAUCGAAGAAUGGAGAAAAGGAAGUGUUGCGGCAUUUUCUGGAGAACGGGGUUCAAAUGGAGAUUGGAGUUGAAGAUUAUGUCUGGGAUGAGGUCCUCAGGAUUUUCUUCUGAUCAUGUGUCACCUUAGACUUUGGCGAGGCCAACAGAAGUCGGUAUGGGUGUCUUCGGAGGAAGAAAUGCACAUGUUACCUUCCUUUUGUGAAGGUGUACCCUCUGAUAUGUCGCCAUCAGAGUGGUGUUUUGGUGUUAUUUCCGGUGUUGCCAGUGGAAUUAUCACAAGAAAAUGGAGAACAGGGUUCAAAUGGAGAAAGGGAGACACGGGGUGUUUUCUGGAGAGCGGGGUUCACAACGGCGAUCGCAAGUUAUCGUCAGGCGAUUGGGGUUCAACUAGAGAACAGGGUUCAUGAUUUGGCAAACAAGAGUAAUAUGAAGUGGUCGGGGUUCAAAUGCGGUGAUCAGGGAUCAUACGCGUGAAAGGAAAUAAGUUUCGGGGUUCAAGAAAAACAAAAAAAAAUCAAUCAAAAUCAAUCAGAAAGUUUUGGGGUUCAAGAAAAGCAAAAAGUAUAAUAAUAAUCCCCAGCGGAGCGCAAAUUGUUCGUUUGUUCUUGGUAUUCAAUCACUCUUCACCCUGAUCAUCUGAAAGCCGAGGCUGUUCAUAUCGACAGGUUCACAGUGGAUUGAAUAGGGGUAGCUGUAACACCUCAAAAUUUGCCCUCCUCUUCUUGGGACUAGUUUAGCAUAUUGCAUUUCAUGUUUUAGGACAUUAGGCAUUCGCAUAUUGCAUAUCAUAUGGAAUAAGAGAUCAUCCUCUAAUGUCUUGUUCAGAAGAUGAAGGUGGUAUAUGGUCCAAGCCUGAGGGUCUUAUUGAAUUGAUGAUCAACCAUCUGAGGGUUUGCAGUGCAUUAGGGUUUCUUGAUCCUUCAAAGGUUGAGCAGUGUCUUGAUUGCAAGGGUAUAUUACCAUCAUCAUGGUUAAUUGAUGAUCAACCAUCUGAGGGUUUGCAGUGCAUUAGGGUUUCUUGAUCCUUCAAAGGUUGAGCAGUGUCUUGAUUGCAAGGGUAUAUUACCAUCAUCAUGGUUAUGUCAUCCUCAAGGGCUUCACUAUGCAUGCUCAAGUUCCUUGGGGUUAGGGUUUUGACCUCUGGUCAACCCUAAUCAAUGCAUUCUUCUAGUCAGGGUUUAUCAAGGAGAUGAGGUAUUUGUUGAUGAUGAAGAUCACAUGGUUAUGUGGAGAGUUUAUAUGGGCUAGGGGUUUCAUUUCUGAGCCAAUUCCUCAAGUGGUGGAGGUUCAAGGUCAUCAGUGCAUUGCCAAGUCAUCUAGCGCCCAUAAAAGUCAACUGAAAGCUAGGAGGUGGAGAAAUGAGUCUCAACACUUCAUUCAUGUCCAAAAGAGGUUUAUUCAUCAUGUCAAACAUCAAUCUUGAAGAAUUUGAAGCCAGAUCAAAAGUUUCCCAAAAUGGAAAGUGACCUGUAAUUGAAAGUUUCCAAAAAUGGAAAGAUUUUGGUUCAAAUUCAACUUGACUUUCCAACAUCAAAGAAGCUUCAAAUGAACUUUUGGUGUACAUGAAAGUUGAAGAUCUUUCUCUCCUCUUUCCAAAAAGUCCUAUUUCAUGGAUUUAUGAUGAAUGGUUGAGAAGUUAUGAUCCAAUGAUUGCAAAGUGUGCAUGGAACUUCAACAUGGCAUAACUUUUGACUCAAAACUCCAAAUGAAGCCACUCUUUUUGCAAAAUUCUUGUCUUGACCUAUAUUUUCCAAAUCUAUCAUUGCAUUGCAUGAAAUUUAAUCACAUGAUCAUUUGUUCAUGCAUGUUCAUUUUGGAGGGAAAGUUGAAAAUUCAAAUUUGGUGCAAGCUACAAACAUAAUUCCAAUCCCAUUGUGUUCAUUAGGUGAUUUUGAGUGAAUGUGAAGCAUUGCAUGCUACUGUUCACGUGUGAAUUUGCCAUGCACCACACACUUUUCCAAUUUUGGUCAUGCACCUCAUAUUUGAUUAACUUUUCAUUAACCAUUGCUUAAUUAAUUUUUCAGCAUGAUUAACAUAUAGUAUAAAGCCUUAAUCAUAACAGAAUUGUUCAUAACAUCACAUUCUAGAUCUCAAAUUUGCUUUCCCUCCAUUUUUGCUCUCAUUUCAAAUUUNUGGUUCAAAUUCAACUUGACUUUCCAACAUCAAAGAAGCUUCAAAUGAACUUUUGGUGUACAUGAAAGUUGAAGAUCUUUCUCUCCUCUUUCCAAAAAGUCCUAUUUCAUGGAUUUAUGAUGAAUGGUUGAGAAGUUAUGAUCCAAUGAUUGCAAAGUGUGCAUGGAACUUCAACAUGGCAUAACUUUUGACUCAAAACUCCAAAUGAAGCCACUCUUUUUGCAAAAUUCUUGUCUUGACCUAUAUUUUCCAAAUCUAUCAUUGCAUUGCAUGAAAUUUAAUCACAUGAUCAUUUGUUCAUGCAUGUUCAUUUUGGAGGGAAAGUUGAAAAUUCAAAUUUGGUGCAAGCUACAAACAUAAUUCCAAUCCCAUUGUGUUCAUUAGGUGAUUUUGAGUGAAUGUGAAGCAUUGCAUGCUACUGUUCACGUGUGAAUUUGCCAUGCACCACACACUUUUCCAAUUUUGGUCAUGCACCUCAUAUUUGAUUAACUUUUCAUUAACCAUUGCUUAAUUAAUUUUUCAGCAUGAUUAACAUAUAGUAUAAAGCCUUAAUCAUAACAGAAUUGUUCAUAACAUCACAUUCUAGAUCUCAAAUUUGCUUUCCCUCCAUUUUUGCUCUCAUCUCAAAUUUAAAUUUCUUUCACAUAACACCUUGAUUUUAUUGCAUAAUCAUGAUCACUAAGCUUCAUUGAGUAUGGAUCAAGCUUUGAUUUGAAGAAUUCGAGCCAGAAUCAAGCACAUCAAGCUCAAGAACAUGAAGAUGGAAGUUGCAAUCUGAUCAAGAUCCCAACCAUUUCAAGCUUCAAUUCGUGCCUAAAGCUUCAAUAUACAAGUGAUAGAGGAGAUCUGGACAUUGCUAGGCCUUGAAUACGCUGUUUCCUCAUUCUUCUCUUCAAGAGGUUGGAAAUUCGAAACUCUUGAUUCUUCUUUUUAUGUGCAUAGACUUGUAGAGCUUUUCAUGCUGAGAAUUCUGAUAUAGAUUUCAUGGAAAAUGGAUGAAUAUUGGUUGAGUUAUGUUGAUUUAAAGUUUGUGUGUUAAAAAUGUUUUCAAUCGAUUUACAUGAUCCAUGGACUUUUAGACUUAAUUAAUGCUGGAUUCGUGUUGUACAUGAGAUAAGCUUUCGUUUGAUAUAAGCCAUGCGCGUUUCUGGAUUUUUUUUUUGGUGUUCAUCACUGUAGCUCCGCCGUUCCAAUGAAGAAGACGGUGGAAACCACCGUCCCUCCACCACGCGUGAAUAGUGCGCGUGCUUCCUGGUUCAAGCGCCUAGGGCUUACUGUUUGAGCGCCUGUCACCAAUGUGUCUCGUGUUCGAUUCCACCUUGCCAUGCAAUUUUUUCAUUUCAUUUGUUUUCCAAUUUUGAAACGGCUGCGUUUUGAUCCUAGCGCGCCAUACCUCCAUUCGAUUCCCGGCUCCAACACUUUUGUUAUUUAUUUCUUCAGCGCCUUCUAUUUUUUCAUGUACAUGGUUCGAUUUCCACUGACACCAUAUUUUCAAAUUCUAUCAACCUUUUCCAUUUCCCUCCAAUUAUCAUAUGAUUUGCUUCAUUUUAUUUCAAUAUUUUCAUUCAAUUUGCAAAAAUCAUAACAAAUAGAAAAUAAAUCCAAAUCACUUCCAAUUUUUUGCUACAUGUUCAUAUGGAUGCCUAUUAUUUUGUGGUUGUGAUUUCUUGAUUUUAUCAUUUCUGGAUUUUUAAUUGUGGACUGUUAUUUGAACAUGAUGCAAAAUCGUGACCAUGUUGUACCAAUUCUUUUUGUGAAAUGCUCAUACAUUGUCCAAUUGAUUUGAAAUUUGGUAUGCUGAUUCCCACAUGUUGUUUGAUUUUUGAGUCUUGGUUGUGCAGCUUUUAUCAUUCUUCAUUCUCUUUUUAGACACAUGAUGUAUGGUGUGACAAGUGUGUCACACAUUUUUGAUGUUGCUCUUGUUCAUUUUCAUAUACAUGUCAAUUGAGCUUUUCUGAUUCCAAUUUUUUGCAUGAUGCUUGUGUUUAACAUGUUGUGUGCACAUAAAAAUUUCCAUGGUUAUUUGACUCAUUUCUGCUUUAGUAUGGAAUUUCUACUCUUAAUGUCCAAUUGUGUGCUUUGUAAUUGCCUUUGCCUUAUUUUAUGCUUUAGAUGGCUCUUCUUAUUGAUUUGAGUUUGAUCCUUUUUAGGACAUGUUCUUACUUGAAUAAAUAUGCUUCAUGUUGAAUAUUGGUUGCUGUUUUGACUUUUUGCUUUACCUUUGACCCUAGUCUUGGUACUAGUGGUUUGUACUCACCUUUUGAGCUUUGCAUUUCAGGUUCAAGCUUCUAGUCUUAAUGGUUGAUGCAAUCUCAUGACUUGAGAUGCAAAUCUGCUUUAUCCACUAACCUUUGUUAUGUUGUAGGUUCCUUGGUGAUGAACUCACUUGAGUUGUUGAUUUGUUGACUUGCCUUGUGUGCAUAUUGGUUGUAACACUGUUGACUGUUUGUUGGAUUUGUCUGAAUGUGAAUAUUGACUUGUUUGACUUUCUUACAGGUACUUUAGUCGCUUUAUCUCAUUGCUUGAGCUUUGCUUUGCUUGUGGUUGGUAUACCACUUAGGUAACCUCUCUAACUCCAUGUAGUCUGGAAGCCCUGUCGCUUUUUUGGCAGACGUUUGGCUGAAGUCCUCCUUAAGAGGCAAUGACUGUGUUUGUUUACAUUUGUGCUGUUACUUGUUAAAGUCCUCCUAAGUGAAGAGGCAAUUGGCAGAUAGAAGGGAUUAGCAAUCAAUCCCCUGCUAAUCGUUUGAGUCGUUCAUUAAGCUCGCACUACGUGCUGAUGCUCUUGAACCUAACCCAAGAUCUUUGUAUAUAGAGUCAGUCAAGUGGAGUAGGGUCCCACAUUCUGGAUCCCCACGUUUUCAUUUAUUCAAGCUCACCCAGGCCAGGGUUAAGAGCUAUGAGGUCCAACCCUCAUUACCUUUCAUCUGCUCACCCUGACGGUCAAUGUCAGUGGUUAAGAGACUCAGACACCCCUUCCAGUGUUGGCUUGUUUGUCGAGGUUGAUAUGACCCCUUGACUAAAGCCCAGCCUUAUAUGAGCCGCUUGUGUGCAUAUAGAAUGUGAUGAUUGCUUUUGAUGUUUAUCUGCUUUUUCUUCUCAUCUCCUUUCUGUAGGAGUCGUAUGAUCAACUUUCGAGGAAGUUGAACGUACGUAGAGAUAGACUUGAGUUGACUCACUGCCUGUGUGAGUCAAACUCUUGUUAGACGACCUCAACCUAGGGUAUAAUUGCAUGAUGACUAUUAGGCUCGAGUCAGUCUCCCUUUUAGUCCCGUGUAUUCCCUUGGUCUCUGGUUAGGAGAAAGUUUCUCCCGUUAAGGGGAACUACGUUCCCUGAUCCUCAUACCAGAUGAGGUACGUAGGCGAGAUUGCGAGAUCUCUCCGGGCACCCUUUUUCUUUUUUGCGUGUGUUUUGCUUGACAACUACUAGGCUCGAUUUCAGACUCCCUUUUAGUUUGUCAAUUGGAGAACCUUUGGUGUUCGCUGGUUAGCGAUUGCUUAUUUGUUUGGAGUCGGAUGUAAGUCCAGGUUUGGCAUUCUGUUUCCUGGUUUGUUUGUGUUUGGAGUCGGAUGUAAGUCCAGGUUUGGCAUUCAGUUUCCUUGUGCUGUUUGUUUGGAGUCGGAUGUAAGCCCAGCUAUUGGCAUUCUGUUUCCUUGUUGAAUUUCUUUUGACGUCUCAGCGUCUUUGUGUUGUGUUUUGUUUCGGCGUGCGUUAGCCGAACUACGACAGCUCUGAUUCUCAUUCCAGAUGAGAUACGUAGGCAUAGGAUGCGAUAUCCUAGAGAGCCCGUUUCCCCUUGUCCCCGAACUACGUCGACUCUGAUGUUUGUGUCUGACAAACUACGUAGGCCCAGGAUGCGACAUCCUGCCGAGUCCCCUUCCUCCAUCUUCUUUCACCUUUUUGCUUAUUCCAGUGUGUGUGCAUUCUUUGAGCAGUUUUUCAGCAACCUUUUUCUAUUCUUUUGAGCAUGGAUCCCGUCGAGUACGAAGGACGUGAGGGUUACUAAUACCUUCCCCUUGCGUAACCGACUCCCGUACCUUGCAAUCUCUGGUCGUAAGACCAUUCCUUUCCCUUUUUCAGGUUUACUUCGAGCGUUUCCUUUCCCUCCUUUGGGAUAAAUAACGCACAGGUCGUAAGACCAUUCCUUUCCCUUUUUCAGGUUUACUUCGAGCGUUUCCUUUCCCUCCUUUGGGAUAAAUAACGCACGGUGGCGGCUCUGUGUCUUUUCCCGCCGGUUGUUUUUCGUGUUGCGACACCUAGGGUUAUUUUGACCUUGGUCAAUUGUUUGACCAAAAGUCAACAGUUGCCCAAAAGUCAACCUAAGGUCAAAUAUGACUUUUUGUGUAAUUUUGUACGUUUUAUUUUUUUUAAUGAAACUUUUGAUGUGGUAAUGCGAUUUUUGGCCUUUGAAAAUGUACUUGUAACUUGUAUUCGAAGCUAUAUUGUUCCCUCUAAAGUUGAAUUUGAAUUUGAAUUUGAACUUGAACUUGAUUUGAAUGAACUUUGAAUUUGCAAUGUUAUGUCUUGAAUACAAAAACAAAUAGCCAAACAACUAAAAAUGUAAGACCUCAAAAGAGAAUGGUUAUAAAAAGUCAAUCUUCCAUGGUUGACUUUUGUUGACCAAAGUCAAACUUGAAAAGUAACCUCUAAACCCAAAUGCCACGAUGUAGUCAACAUGAUCCAAAAUGCGUAGACCAAUAUUAUGGUUUCUUAAAGACUUAAUCCAAGACCAAUGAUUAAUAAAAGUUUUGUUGUGCCCACAGCCAAAAGGUCCAGAAGCACAUUGAACAUAGGCCCGCAAACCAUAAUUUAGUGCCUUGUAUCUUAAGAAGAAACCUUUUGAUCAAUGAUAUCAUUUGAAAAAUGCAAUUGUAAAUGAAUGAUCUACAUGACUAUGAGUAUGUAGAUGAACCAUGGUCCAAGGAUAAAAUGAAAAGAAAAAGGUAGGGCAAAUUUUGGGGUAUGACAUGAUUCUGGAGACAACAUGCGGAAAGCGAGCAGACUCCAUGGCGAUUGAAGUCAGUUACCUCAUUGUAGGUGCCAUGUCGCCCUACAAUAUAAUCCUACAUAUACCAUCCAUCAAUGCGUUGAAGGAGAUUAUUUCCACCCGAUAUCUGGUUCUAAAAUACCCGCUUCCUGGAGAGCGAAUCAGGACAAUUCAAGGAGACCAACAAAGUGCUCAAGAGUGUUAUCAGAGCUACCUGAAGAAUGAGAGGGAAGAGCUCUACCUUAUGGGUGCCCUAGAUCUGGUAACCUCUUACUUCCUUUAAUGCAUUCCAUUGCUUGCCUUUGCAUACAUAUAUAUAUAUAUAUAUAUUAUAUAUAUAUAUAUAUAUAUAUAUAUAUAUAUAUAUAUAUAUAUAUAUAUAUAUAUAUAUAUAUAUAUAUAUAUAUAUAUAUAUAUAUUUAUAUUAUAUAUAUAUAUAUAAUAUAUAUAUAUAUAUAUAUAUAUAUAUAUAUAUAUAUAGUAUAAUAUAUAUUAUAUAUAUAUGAACGAAUAGUCUCAUUAGCUUGCCUAGCGAUUCUGAGAGCGAUGAGUCUCCCGUAGUUAGGGUGGCAAUAUCUUUUGGUUCAAACACUUCCUCCUUGAUCAUUGAUUAACUGGGUCAUGAGGUAAUAUCUAUAAUUGAUGAUUUUGAAUUAGCGAGACCCUCUAGGGGUUCGCCUGCUUUAUUGACUCCAGAAGUGCAGGUUUCCAUUCUAAAUGGUGACGAUGCUAAAGAAUAUAUACAAAUUCAUCAAAAAUCCUACAAUCGAGAUCCCAUAGAUACCGACAUUAAGGACCAUCUAAAACGUGGGCCCCAACCAUAUGCAAUUUGUUGGCUUGAAGCCUUUGAAACCUUUAAGGUCAAUGAACUAUCCCUAAAAAGGGUUAUGUUAGUAUAGCCGACUGAUGUGAGAAGAUAUAAUUGGGUGGACGCUGAAAUAGUGGGGACCCCCUUCAUUUUAAGUACUCAAACAAUCGUAAGUGUGACCAAUAUCACGAUCGGUCAUUCUUCUGAUUGGUAUGUCCUUCCGGUAGAUCCAGAAAAAAGGAUAUGAAACGUCUCUUUAUGAGUGUCUAUUUACCAGGGUGAAUCUUCGGUUUCCUCUAUGUGAAUUUGAGGUGGAGGUGUUGAAGUACCUAAAAGUUGUCCUCUCUCAGCUUCAUUCGGUUUCUUAGGCUUAGUUGAAGAUGUUCCAAUUUUGUGAAGGAUAUAGGUCUUGGAAUCCUUUUCCCUGUUUUUUUUCAAAUUGUUUUGAGUUGUACAUAUUUCUAAAAAUGAUACUCGAAAUCAGAGGCUUAUUGAGCUUUGUUAGCAUACUCGCUUCUUCAUCCCUUUUCACUAAUGAUUGGGGCAAUUUUCUGGGGCAUUUCGUGUUGGUGAGGCCAUAAAGUUUCCUUCUCAUCUAGCCUUGCCGAGUCUUCUCGCUUAUGUAAGGGUAAGUUUCUGAAAUAUUGGGAUUGACCUCACUUUUGUUAUGAGCCUCAUAUGUAUAGCAUUUAAAUAGAUUACCUUUAUAGAGUCUCUAUACUAGGGACUCAUCUACAUAGAAAGGUUUGGUCACAACAAAGAGUCGUCUUCCUACCAGAGGAAGAAAUCUAUUGAUACCCACGCUAUUGUGAGUAUGGUCGACCGUCUAGAUAGGAAAUAUGUAUUUGGUGAGGAUAAAAUCCUUGUUUUUUUAACCUGUGUGCUUGUACUUGUAGAUAAAAUGGGCUCUUUACAAAAAGUCUACACCAUUUGCACUUCUCAAUGUGUCAACUCAGGUCCCCUGGCUCAGACUACUACUACUCCUUCCAUAACUCUCGAUGCAUCCUCUGUUGUCGAGGAUACUUCAGCUAUCCCUGGAGCUGACCAACUUAUUCAUGUCAGUACUGCUUUGACUAUGGAGGACCAAUCUCAUGUUGUUACUACCCCGACAAAGAGAGACCCGGACUUGGACCAGAGUCCUCUUCUAGAGAAAAAUUCUCCAAAGUGGGAUCGCCUUUCUAGGGGUUUUACUUCAGGAUCGACCACUCCCCUUCUAAAAAAUCUUGUCAUCCUUCCUUCCUGAAUUCCCCACACCCCCGAGGAUGUUGUUGUUGCUAUAUCCAUGGAGGAUCUGGCUUACCUCUAAAAUCUUCUUGAGGCGGGACGAACAAUAUGGAGAUUUUCUUGAGGAUACCUUAUACACUUACCGGGAGGCUUCUCUAUUUUAAUUAUUUGUUGUUGAUCGAGGCGAAGUCCUAGCCAUGGGUAAUCCUUUCAAAGAUAGAGACACAUGGAAGGAAAAGUGUGAAUCAUUUAUGCGGAAGUGCUCCGACUUUUAGGAGGAAACAUCUUCUCUCCUAUAAAAGGUCUGAUGUAUUGAGGAUCUCUAAGAGGAGGUGAAGGUCCACCGUUCACCUUCUAGUUUAGCUUCUCAUAUCACUGAGUUAGAGUCUUCCUUAGAAGAAGAGAAGAAGCAUCGUCAGGAGACAAUUGUUGCCAUUAGGGAGGCAAAAAAUUGUGACGAUGAGGCUUAGAAAGCCUUUCAAUAGGAGAAGGAGUCCCAUGUUGAGGAUCAGAGGGUUCAUGAUGGCUAGGUGGUUGAGCUGAAUGAAAGAGUCCAUGAGUCUCUUCAGCAUGCUUUAACGAAUGUGUAUAAAGCUUUCGACCAGGAAGUGGAACAGGAAAAAGGAUUCCGCCCAAACAUCCUCAUUCCCAACGUGGAACUAGACAUUUCAAAUUUGUUCAGGACGGGGCUUUGGUGGACAACUCUGGUGUAGUGUCUCAGAGUGAGGAAGCUUGAUUUUCUUUUUCUUCUUUUCCUAUAACGUUAUUUGGGCUUUAUGUCUUUGCAAAGAUAACAAUAUUUACAUAUUUACCUUUACAUUUGGUGCCUUUAUUAAACUUAUGUGCUUGAUAUAUUUUAUUUCUUCCUUAUUGUCAUUUGGUCCGCCGUGUGGGUUGCUAGUCUCCAUGCUUUGGAUCGAUUGACGAGUCCUUGUUGCAUCAGGACUUACUCAUUGUGCUUGUACCUUUAGAUUUGUUCACCUUAUAUGCCCUAUUGGCAUUUGGCGUGUUCAUCGAACUCUAUAGUCCCAAAUGGAGUUCGUGGUUACGAGCUUCGAUUCGGAAAAGUUAGUGUUGUAACACCCCGAUAAAAUAAGAUAAUUAUUUAAAUUGAGUUAAUAAUAUAUUUAUUAAUUUAAUUAAAUAAUUGGAAUUAUUAUUAUUAUUGGAAUAAUAAUUAUUGGAAUAUUAUUGGAAUUAUUAUUAUUGGGUUAUUAUUUUUAAUUUGGAAUAAAAGUUGGAGAGUUCGAAAAGGUCCCCAUUUAGUAAAAAGGUUUAUUUUUCACGUGAAAAGGGAAAGAGACAGAAAGUGGAAAAGGGCAAAGAAGCCCAGAGAACAAGGGUUGAAGGAGGAAGAGCUUGAAGCUUCUUAAAGAUUCGCACGGAUUAACGUCAGGUAAGGGGGGUUUAUCAUGCGUUUAAUGGGUAUUAUGGGAUAAUAUGUAAUGGGUAGUGAUAAACCAUUGAUUUACCUCUGAUUGGAAUAACUUAUGCCUGAAAUUGUGACGUUUUGGGAUGAACGAUCUGGUAUUAAAAUCGAAGGACAUUCGGUAAGAAUUGAUGGCAUAGUGUUAGUAGAAUUGCGAGAUCGAAUAGGUUAUGAAUUCGUGUUAGAUGAUAUGAACGACUAUUGUGAAAAAUUGGACUGUGGAAGGUUAGAAUUGAUAGAUCCGUAGAAGAGAAAGCCAUUGCAGAUCUGGAAAUUCUGGUUUCUGGUCAUACGCGUAUGGACUAGCCAUACCGUAUGAGAUGGUCUGGUACGCGUAUGGCACCUAGGCAAUACGCGUAUGGAUGAGGAAGAUGAUGUUUUGAACGUGUUUUGGUCUCUGUUGGUACGCGUAUGGGGAAUGUGGUACGCGUAGGCAUACGCUAUGGAAUGGUGUUACGCGUAUGGUUUUGGCUGAGAAAUGGGCCAUACGCGUAUGGGACUAGGCAAUACGCGUAUGGGCAGACUUGUGGUUUCCUGAGCUGUUGUUUGUCAGUUUUUAGCUGUUCAGCUGAGUAAUGUAAUUUAGCUGAUGUUGAUAUAUUAGGGAUCAUUCCCCGUUGUUUUGAGUAGUAUAGGUAUUAGUAGAGUGUGCUAUCUACUGUGGUUUGUUAUUUGGCAUGAUAUGAUAUGCUUAUGUGAUAAAUACUGAUGAUGUGUGAUGGUAUGCAUGAUGCUGUGAAUGUAUCAGUUAUGUGUGCAUUUGUGAAUAACUGUUUUAUGGCUUAGAGUGUGAGCAAUAUGUCUAUUCUUGAAUUAUUGUUGAUGAUGUAGCAUUGCUAGGUGAUAGCAUGCAUAUUGUGGCCUUAUGGUGGUAGCUAAUUUCCCAUUGUGAGGAAUUAGUGAGUUAGUCAUUAUGGACUGUUGUCGAUGUUUGCAUGCUAGGUGAAUUAGCGUGCAUAGCAUAGCCCUUGAGGGGUGGUAGCUAAUUCCCGUGGUGAGGAAAUUAGUGAGUGAGUCACUAGGUCUCAAAUGAGUGGGACUAGUUGGACUUGGUAGCCGUGCCUGCUGGAUUUGGACGGUGAGAGGUGAACUAUAUGUUCACAAUAGUCGGUACCGCAUGCAUGGAGUUCAUUGCAUUUGUAUUGUAUGGCGUAUAAUAUGAAUGGAUGUAUUCCAAUAUUAUUACGUGUUGUUUUGUGUUGAGUUGACAGUAUGAUUUUAGUUGAUGUUGCUGUUGCUGAAUGUAUGAUCUGAUUAGGGUGAUGAAUGUGUGAAAUUACUUAAGCACUUACAUGAUGUUUAUAAUGCUUAUAUAUCGAUUGAGGAAAUCACCCUUACAACUAUGUUUUCAGGUAACGGAGCAGUGAUUGAGUAGAAGCUAAUCCUUGGAGUCUAGGUAGUCCUUAGUGGUCAUGCUCUGGUAGAUGUAACAUCGGAUGGGAUGUUUCUAUGUUUUCAUUUGGUUGUUGAACAACUUUACCAUGUAAUGUAUUACAUGGUUUGAAUUUGUUAGUUUUUAUCCGCUGGCGAAUUAAUGCAAAAUGUUUUAUUUUGAUUAAAUAAAUGAGCAUGACAGAAUAUUUUGAUGAUUGGUGGUGAAAUAUGAUUGUGGACACCCUUAAGUGCAUAAUUACUCUGAUUUGGAUAUCUUGUUUAUUUUAAUUAAAUAUUUGGGUAUUUUUAGAAGGGUGUUACAUUAGUGUAUCAGAGCAUAGUCGGUCGAGUCGAGUCGUAAUUAUUCUGUUCCCCUGUACGGGACUAGUGUUGUGUAACCCUAUAGUACUUAUUGUUUUAGCUUGUUGGGUUUUUCAGAAUAGAGAUGGCUGGAGAGGUAGAGACGAUGCUGCAAUUGCUGAGGCUCUGGGUUAUGCCUAGCUGGAGUACUUGGAGGAAAUCCGAAUGUUGUGGGAAUGGGAGCUGCUCGUCAACUGAGUGAGUUCCAGAAGAGUAAUCCUCCAAUGUUCAAGGAGGCAUACGAUCCAGAUGGCCGCUCAGAAGUGGUUGAAGGAGAUCGAGAGGAUCUUCCGAGUGACUGAGUGUGCGCGAUAACCAGAAGGUCAGGUUCGGUACGCAUAUGCCGUCAGAAGAGCAGAUGAUUGGGUGGUGCUACCCGCAGCUGAGUUGGAAUCUGCUGGAAUGAUGAGAUCACUUGGGUUUGUGUUCCGAGAGAGAUUCCUGAGGAAGUACUUUCCAGAGGAUGUUAGAGGAAAGAAAGAGAUAGAGUUCUUGGAAUUGAAGCAGGGCAAUCGGUCUGUUACUGAGUAUGUGCUAAGUUCACAGGCUGUCGAAGUAUUCACUCCCUAUAAGCGAGGCUACUGGGGAAUUUUUCAAAGUGUGUGAGUUUGGAAACGGGUUGCGUCCCGAGAUUAAGCAGGCUAUUGGGUAUCCAGCGGAUCAGAGUGUUUUCCUGACUUGGUUGACUGUUGCAGCAGAUUUUUGAACAGGAUUCCAAGGCUAGAGCAGAGAGCUAUCAGCAAAGGGUGUUGAUAGGAAAGGCAAGAAUCAGAAUGAUCGGGGAAACCGUAUGUAGUUGGAAAAGGUUUCAGAGGCAGAGUGGGAUGAAGAGGCCUAGUGGGGGAGACUCCAGUGCCCCUGGCUAAGUGUUUCAGAUUGUGGUCAGGCUGGACAUCGUAUCCAUGAGUGUACCAGUAAUGAGAAGAAGUGGUUUUAAGUGUGGAAAAGGUGGUCAUUUGGCUGCAGAGUGCCGGUCGACGACUGUGACUUGUUUCAAACGUGGAGAAGUGGGUCAUAUCAGUCCACAGUGUCCUAAGCCGAAGAAAAGAUCAGUCGGGAGGCAAGGUCUUUGCUUUAUCGGGUUCUGAGACUUCUGCAGACGAUUCGUUUGAUCCGAGGUACGUGUUAUAUUAAGGCUUUCCUCUGUAGCUAUUAUUGACACAGGUGCGACUCAUUCUUUAUUCUUUGGAUUGUGCUGUGAAACUUAAGUUAGAGAUAUCUGAGAUGCUUGGAAGUAUGGUGAUUGAUACUCCUGCGAAGGUUCAGUGACUACUACUUCAGUUGUUUAAAUUGUCCUUUGAGUAUUUUUGGUAGAGACUUUGGGAUGGACCUUAGUGUGUCUUCCACUAGUUGCAGAAUUGAUGUUAUCCUGGGUAUGAACUGGUUUGGUGUUUAACCGAGUUUAUAUCAAUUGUUUGAUAGACUGUGACUCUUUCCUGAGAUUGAGGAAGGAAAGAGUUUGUUUCUAUCAGCAGGCAGGUGAAUGAGGCAGUAGUAGACGGGGCAGAGUUGUUUAUGCUGUUAGCGACUUUGGAGGCUAAAGAUAAACUGGUGAUUUGUGAUCUAGCCGUGGUGUGUGAUUUUCCUGAUGUGUUUCCUGAAGAGUGAAUGAAUUACGCCAGAACGUGAAGUUGAGUUUCUCGAUUGAUUUGGUACCUGGUCUAGGCCAAUGUCGAUGGCUCGGUACCGUUGUCUGCUGUUGAGUUAACUGAAUUGAAGAGUCAGUUAAAAGAUCUGUUGGAUAAGAAAUUUAUUCGUCCGAGUGGUCACCGUGGUGCACUAGUGUUAUUUGGUUAAGAAGAAAGAAGGUACUAUGAGGUUGUGUGUGGACUACAGGCAACUGAUAUAAGUGACGAUCAAGAAUCGUAUCCUUUGCCGGAGGAUUGAUGAUUUGAUGGAUCAGUUGGUUGGUGCGAGUGUGUUUCAGCAAAAUAGAUUGAGAUCGGAUAUCACCAGAUACGUGUGAAAACUGAGGAUAUUCAGAAGACUGCUUUCAGAACAAGGUAUGGACAUUAUGAGUAUUCUGUAAUGCCUUUUGGUGUGACUAAUGCGCCUGGAGUAUUUAUGGAGUAUUGAAUAGGAUUUUUCCAUCCGUACCUAGAUAAGUUUGUUGUGGUGUUUAUUGAUGACAUUUGUGUAUUCGAAAUCUGAAGAAGAGCAUGCUGAGCAUUUGAGAGGGUGUUAGGAGUUCUACGGAAAAGAAUUAUUUGCUAAACUAUCCAAGUGUGAAUUUUGGUUAGAAGAGGUUAGUUUCUUGGUCAUGUGAUUUCAAGAGGUGUGUUGUGCUGUUGAUCCUUAAGAUAGAAGCGGUAUCUAAGUGGAAGCUCCGAAGUCAGUUUCUGAGAUAAGAAGUUUUCUUGGACUUGCCAGGUUAUUAUAGGAAGUUCAUUGAGAGGAUUUUCUAAGUUGGCAUUACCGUUGACGAUGUUGACUACGAAAGGGGCAAGCGUUUGUUUGGGACUCAAAAUGUGAAGAAGGUUUCCAGAGUUAAAGAGAAGGUUAACUACUGCUCUAUUUUUGAAUAUUACCGAGUCCGUCAGAACUAUUUGAGGUUUUUCUGUGAUGCUUCAUAUGUUGGGUUUGGGUGGUGUGUUGAUGCAGAUAAGCAGGUUAUAGCUUAUGCUCGAGACAACUGAGGGUUCAUGAGAGGAACUAUCCGACGCACGAUUUAGAGUUGGCAGCUGUGUAUUUGGUUCUGAAGUUGUGGAGCAUUACUUGUACGGGUCAAGAUUUGAGGUUUUCAGCGACCAUAAGAGUUUAAAGUAUUUGUUUUGAUCAGAAAGAGCUGAAUAUGAGACAGAGGAGAUUGGUUAGAGUUUCUGAGAUUAUGACUUUGGUUUGAAUUACCAUCGGGUAAAGCAAACGUAGUGGCUGAUGCAUUGAGUCGGAAAUCAUUGCAUAUGUCCUAUGUUAAUGGUUAAGGAAUUGGAUUUAAUUGAGCAGUUUAGAGACUUGAGUUUGGUGUGUGAGAGUACUCACAAUAGUGUUAAAUUGGGAAUGUUGAAGUUAACAAGUAGUAUUUCUGGAUGAGAUCAGAGAGGGUCAGAAAUCCGAGUGCUUUUGGUUGAUAAGUUGACUUUAGUGAAUCAAGGUCAAGGUGGUGAAUUGCAGAGUUGAUGAGAAUGGUGUUUUGAAUUUGGUAAUCGGGUGUGUAUUCCGGAUGUUACGAACUUAGAAGAGUAUCCUGGAGGAAGGACAUCGUAGUGGCCUGAGUAUUCAUCCUGGGGCUACGAAGAUGUAUCAUGAGUUGAAAAAGUUUUUUUUGGUGGCCGGAAUGAAAAGAGAAUUGCGAGUUUUGUUUAUUCUUGUUUGACUUGUCAGAAGUCAAAGAUUGAGCAUCAGAAGCCGUCUGGGCUAAUGCCAACCGUUGGCUUUUCCAGAGUGAAAGUGGGAUAGUAUCAGCAUGGAUUUUGUUUCUGGUUUACCGAGGACAACUAAGAAUUUCGAAGCUAAUUUGGGUGAUUGUUGACAGAUUGAACAAAAUCGGCUCAUUUCAUUCGAUCAGAAUGGAUUAUCCGUUAGAGAGAUUAGCUGAGUUGUAUAUUGAGAAGUUGUAAGUUUGCAUGGUAUUCCGUCGAGUAUUGUUUCGGACAGAGAUCCUAGAUUUACAUUAAGUUCUGGAAGGUUUGUUAGAGGGCUUUGGAACUAAGCUGAGAUGAGUUCUGCAUAUCAUCCACAGACUGAUGGUCAGACUGAGAGGACGAUUCAUUACUGGAGAAUCUUUUUGAGGGCUUGUUGUUUUGGAAAAAGGAGGUGCUUGGAUUGUUAUUUACCUUUGAUUGAGUUCACCUACAAACAAUAGUUUUCAUUCGAGCAUUGGUAUGGCCCGUUUGAAGCUUUGUAUGGUAGGAGAUGUCGGACACCUUUAUGUUGGUAUGAGUCCGGUGAGAAGUGCUGUGGUUGGACCGGAGAUUGUUCAACAAACUACGGAAAAGAUUAAGAUGAAUUCAGGAGAAGAUGAGAAUUGCUCAAGAGUCGUCAGAGAGAGUUAUCACGACAAGAGGAGAAGAAGUCACUUGAGUUCCAAGAGGGAGAUCUGUGUUUCUUCGUGUUACCCGAUAACUGGGUUGGUCGAGCUUUGAAGUCGAAGAAGUUGACACCUCGAUUUAUUGGUCCUUAUCAGAUUUUGGAGAAGGAAUAGGGGAGGUAGCCUAUCGUAUCGCUUUACCGACGUCACUUGCGAAUUUGCAUGAGGUUUUCAUGUGUCCUCAGUUGAGGAGGUACAUUCAUGAUCCGUCGCAUGUAGUCCAAAUAGAUGAUGUACAGGUGAGAGAUUAACCUGACUGUUGAAACAUCACCUAUGAGGAUCGAGGAUCGAGAAGUUGAAGCAGUUGCGGGGUAAGAGAUUGCUUUGGUAAAGGUAGCUUGGGGAGACCAGCAGGUGGCAAUGUGACUUGGGAACUUGAGAAGUCAGAUGAAGGAGUCUUAUCCUGAGUUGUUCGCUUGAGGUAUGUUUUCGAGGACGAAAACUCUUUAGUGGGGAGAGUUGUAACACCCCAUAAAAAAGAUAAUUAUUUAAUAUUGAGUUAAUAAUAUAUUUAUUAAUUUAAUUAAAUAAUUGGAAUUAUUAUUAUUAUUGGAAUAAUAAUUAUUGGAAUAUUAUGGAAUUAUUAUUAUUGGUUAUUAUUUUAUUGAAAUAAAAGUUGAAGUUAGAAAAGGUCCCAUUUAGUAAAGGUUUAUUUUUUCACGUGAAAAGGGAAAAGAGACGAAAGUGGAAAGGGCAAAGAGAGCCAGAGAACAAGGGUUGAAGGAGAGGAAGAGCUUGAAGCUUAAGAUUCGCCGGAUUAACUCAGUUUAAGGGGGUUUAUCAUCGUUUAAUGGUAUUAAUGGGAUAAUAUGUAAUGGGUAGUGAUAACCAUUGAUUUACCUCUGAUUGGAAUAAUUAUGCUGAAAUUAUGAACGUUUGGGAUGAACGAAUCUGGAUUAAAAUCGAAGGAAAUUCGUAGGAAUUAGAUGCAAUAGUGUUAGAAAUUGCGAGAUCGAAUAGGGUUAUGAUUCGUGUUAGAUGAUAUGAACGACUAUUGUGAAAAUUGGACUGUGGAAGGUUGAAUUGGAUAGAUCUCGUAGCAGAGAAAGCCAUUGCAGAUCUGGAAAUUUGGUUUCUGGUCAUACGCGUAUGGCACUAGGCAAUACGCGUAUGAGAUGGUCUGGUACGCGUAUGGCACUAGGCAAUACGCGUAUGGAUGAGGAAGAUGAUGUUUUGAACGUGUUUUGGUCUCUGUUGGUCGCCGUAUGGGGAGUGGUACGCGUAGCAUACCGCGUAUGGGAUGGUGUUACGCGUAUGGGUUGGCUGAGAAAUGGGCCAUACGCGUAUGGGACUAGGCAAUACGCGUAGGGGCAGACUUGUGGUUUCCUGAGCUGUUGUUGUGCAGUUUUAGCUGUUCAGCUGAGUAAUGUAAUUUAGCUGAUGUUGAUAUAUUAGGGAUCAUUCCCCGUUGUUUUGAGUAGUAUAGGUAUUAGUAGAGUGUGCUAAUACUGUGGUUGUUAUUUGGCAUGAUAUGAUAUGCUUAUGUGAUAAAUACUGAUGAUGUGUGAUGGUAUGCAUGAUGCUGUGAAUGUAUCAGUUAUGUGUGCAUUUGUGAAUAGACUGUUUAUGGGCUUAGAGUGUGAGCAUUAUGUUAUUCUUGAAUUGUUGUUGAUGAUGUGCAUUUGCUAGGUGAUUUACAGCAUAUUGUGGCCUAUGGUGGUAGCUAAUUCCCAUUGUGAGAAUUAGUGAGUUAGUCAUUAUGGACUGUUGUCGAUGUUUUGCAUGCUAGGUGAAUUAGCGUGCAUAGCAUAGCCCUUGAGGGGGUGGUAGCUAAUUCCCGUGGUGAGGAAUUAGUGAGUGAGUCACUAGGUCCUCAAAUGAGUGGACUAGUUGGACUUGUAGCCGUGCCUGGAUUUGGACGGUGAGGUGAACUAUAUGUUCACAAAUAGUCGGUACUGCAUGCAUGGAGUCUCAUUGCAUUUGUAUUGUAUGGCGUAUAAUAUGAAUGGAUGUAUUCCAAUAUUAUACGUGUGUUUUGUGGUUGAGUGAGUAUGAUUUUAGUUGAUGUUGCUGUUGCUGAAUGUAUGAUCUGAUUAGGGUGAUGAAUGUGUGAAAUUACUUAGCAUUACAUGAUGUUUAUAAUGCUUAUUAUAUCGGAUUGAGGAACUCACCUUACAAACUAUGUUUUCAGGUAACGAGCAGUGAUUGAGUAGAAAGCUAAGUCCUUGGAGUCUAGUGUAGUCCUUAGUGGGUCAUGCUCUGGUAGAUGUAACAUCGGAAUGGGAUGUUUUACUAUGUUUUCAUUUUGGUUGUUGAAACUUUACAUGUAAUGUAUUACAUGGUUGAAUGUUGUAGUUUUAAUCCGUGUGAAUUAGCAAAUGUUUUAUUUUGAUUAAAUAAAUGAGCAUGACAGAAUAUUUUGAUGAUGUGUGUGAAAUGAUUGUGUGACACCCUUAAGUGCAUAAUUAUUCUGAUUGAUAUCUGUUUAUUUUAAUUAAAUAUUUGGGGUAUUUUAGAAGGGUGUUAACAGUGUCAUAUGAAUCAUCCCUAGCCAAAGGUAAGGUCAGUCCCUGUCCCCGGGUUUAUCCUAGUUCCACCGUCUAUGUAACACCUACUUUAGUUAAUUAUUAUGUUUAUUUUAAUAUUUAAUUUGUUCUAUGUAUUGAGUGAUUUAUUGUACUUUUUGUUAUUUAUGGUAUUUUGGUAUUUAGGUAAUAUUAAAAAAAUUAGAGAUGUGUUAGAAUUAAGAAGAAAUAGACUUUUUUAAUUAAAUUAGAAAGAUAUGGUGUUGAGUAAGAGCUAGGGUGUGGUGGAGGAUUAGUGAGAAUAAUAGAAUAUCGUUGUAAGUAAAUAAUUGUAUUAUUAAAAUAAUUUAUUAUUUAAAAUAAUUUAGAUAAUUUUGAAUGAAAAAUAAUCAAUUAGAAAGUAGAGGUUUAAGUGAGGUUGGGAAAAUAAUUAGACUUUUAGGUUUUUAAAUAGAAAAGUUAGAAGGGAUUCUGGACAUAAUGUGAAAUUGUGGAAAAGAGGAAGCGAUUGAAACCCUAAGGAGAGCGAUCUAGGAAGGUGAGUGAAGAAUAAUCNGAAUUAUGCAAAUGUUUUAUUUUGAUUAAAUAAAUGAGCAUGACAGAAUAUUUUGAUGAUUGGUGUGAAAUGAUUGUGUGACACCCUUAAGUGCAUAAUUACUCUGAUUGAUAUCUUGUUAUUUUAAUUAAAUAUUUGGGGUAUUUUAGAAGGGUGUUACAAGUGUCACUAUGAAUCAUCCCUAGCCAAAGGUAAGGUUCACGUCCCUGUCCCCGGGUUUAUCCUAGUUCCACCGUCUAUGUAACACCCUUACUUUAGUUAAUUAUUAUGUUUAUUUAAAUCAUUUAAUUUGUUCUAUGUUAUUGAGUGAUUUAUGUACUUUUUGUUAUUUAUGGGUAUUUUGGUAAUUUAGGUAAUAUUAAAAAAAUUAGAGAUGUGUUAGAAUUAAGAGAAAAUAGACUUUUUAAUUAAAUUAGAAAGAUAUGGGUGUUUAGAGUAAGAGCUAGGGUGUGGUGAGGAUUAGUGAGAAUAAUAGAAUUAUCGUUGUAAGUAAAUAAUUGUAUUAUUAAAAUAAUUAUUAUUUAAAAUAAUUUAGAUAAUAUUUGAAUGAAAAAUAAAUCAAUUAGAAAGUAGAGGUUUAGUGAGGGUGAGGAAAAUAAUUAGACUUUUAGGUUAUUUAAAUAGAAAAGUUAGAAGGGAUUUCUGGACAUAAUGUGAAAUUGUGGAAAAGAGGAAGCGAUUGAAAACCUAAGGAGAGCGAUCUAGGAAGGUGAGUGAAGAAUAAUCUCAAUGGUAGAAAAACUCAACGAUCAUCGCAGUCGAGGAAGGGGGUGAGAUCCCUUACAUUUUGCGUGUUUAGGCAUCCGAAUAGCGAGGGAUCCUAACCAUCAUGUCUUCUCCUUCCAUAUUAUGAGUGUUGCUUUAAUCGUAUGUUUGUGGCUAAAAGGGUUUGUCCUAAACCCCUUUGAAUUAACAAUUUGAAUAUAUUACAUCGAAUUGAGUUAUUUUGAAUCUAUAAUAAUAUUAUUGUUAUUGAUAUGUGGCCUUGUCCCUUUUGGGGUUUUUUUCUUGAUAAUUCGAUUACUCCCGGUUUGUGAUGUGUAGCUGAUAUUUUCUUUUGAGAUCAAUAAUCAAAUUCCAAAAUCUUAUUUUUCAUGAAAAUCCCUAAUAUCAUUUUUUUUCGAAAGAUCAUAAAAAUGGUCAAAAAAUCAAAAAGUCGAGAAAAUCGAGAAAAAGUUAGAAAAUCCAAAAUCGGAAAAAAUUGGGUGGCGGGCCGCAGCAGCAACCAAGAGUCAGAGGCCGCCAAAAUCAGGUGUCGCAUCGCCGGCCGGCGACCGUGAGCAACGGGGCCGCCAGAGUCAUGUCGCGGUGGCAGCAUGCGACAGGUUUUCGGAUUCGGGCAGUGCGGUGGCACGGGUCGGAUGAGGCGGUCCGGUGUUCGGCGGUAGUUUGACGUUUCGCUGUUCAAUUGAGUUAAUUUCGAGUAAUCUUGAGUUCAGUGACUUUUCGCUACCUUUGUUGAUAAGUUCGAGAGCCAAUUGUUAUUUUAGAGUUGUUUUAUGUUUAUUUGAGUCAGACCGCCGGUCAAUAUAGUUCAUAAGAGUUAUCUUUAUAUGCAAGUGUUGUCCUUUGAGCACUUUAGAGUACCUUAAAGUUGUUUUGGGUUGUAGAAAUUAUUGUAGAGCCGUUUAGAGUUCCUUUGAGGACUCUGUUGAGUAAAAGAUAAGGGUUGUUACCCUUUUGAUGAGUUGCAAAUAUAAAAUAAUAAUAACUACUAUGUCGAUAUGUUUUUAGUAAUUUUAUGAGUUGACGAACAAAUUGAAUUAACGUGUGAUGAAGUUUAUCAUUACAUUAUGUAAGAUUUUAUUUUUUGAUGUUUGGACAUUCAUUUCCUAAUUUAUCAAUUGUAUUAACCAACAUUUUACAAACUAUUAACAAAAGUCUAUUUGUCACAUAAAACUUUAGCUUUUGAUGUCAGAGCAUUCAAUAAUAUUAAAUUAAUCAACUUUAUAAUUUAAGAUUAUUUUUUUUAAUAUUUUUUUUAUUUAAAUAAAAAUAUUAAUCAUCAUAUAAAUAUAAAUAUAAAUUCGGUAAACAAUAUUCCAUAUAUUUGGUUUAAAUAUUUGAUAUACAAUUAUAUGUCAAAAUAACAUUGCUGAAUAACUUAUUUGGUAGACACGACUGAAGCUAAUAAUUUAUUUGAUACACACAAAUGAAAAUAAAUGAAAAUUUCAGCUAAAUCACUUUUAAGUGUCAAAAUAAUUUCUAUUGUGUCUUUUAAUUACUACUCUUUACAUUAUUUUUAAUAUAUUUAAUUUAUAAGAUUAAUUUAAUAAUAGUGUAUUAUUACCUUUCAUUAAUUUGUGUAAAAAACCUUAUAAGUUGUAUUAAUUAUCGGCAAAUAUCUAUACUCAUCGAUGUAGAGGGAAAAAUCACACAAUAUCAAACAUUGUAAAUUUCAAAACACAGAUUUCAGAUAUAAUACAUGACCAUUUCAAAACACAUACAAUUUCAAAACACAGAUUUCAGAUAUAAUACAUGACCAUUUCAAAACACAUUUUCAAUCUAUGCUAUAUAUGCAAACCAAAAAAAGCAAAACCAGAAACAACGUCUUAGCAAAACUAUUAUCUUCAAAUUGAUAGCAUAGCUUCACAACCAAGCAAAACCACCCCAACAACAAAAGACAUCCACAUUCCCUUCACAUUACAGUAACCAGCACCAGAAGAAGCUUCAGAAGGCAAGUCUUUGUUCUCAUCAUCAUCAUCCUUCGAUGCUGAUGACUUGCUUCCAUCACCAGGCUUAGAUGAACCUCCUUUAGAAACCGUUGCAGGUGCAGGAGCUUUCGCAGGAAGCAGAAGAUCAAGAGGAACAAGAACCUUGUCAACCUGAUAUAUAGCUAGUUUAUUAUCUGCAUAAAUGGUUCCUGUAACAGUGGCGUUAACCGCACCAGUUGUCAAGCUAACUUGACUGCUCCCGGAAGUGGUUACGUUAAGUUGUAGCCUUUUGGCAUCGUCGCCGGCCUGUGUUUGAACCGGGUUUGUUAAGGUGUCGAAAUUUGAGAGUGAGAUGAAUGAGGAAAGUGUGUGGAAUUGUAACAGUUCUACUUUGUGUCUGUCACUGAGAGAAUUAAGGAAACCUGGUUUCAGUUUCGAAAAAGCACUGUCUUCUGGUGCGAAAACGGUUAAACCAGCAUUGCUAGAAUCUGAUGCUUCUGAUGAUGGUGAUGUAACUAGCUGUGAGUUGAGUUGGUUUAUUAACUGAGUUGUUUUGAGAAGGCGGAUAAGAACCGAGAAUCUUUUGGCUUUUUUUAGAAUUUGGAUGAUGUCAAUGGAUGGUGUUUUGGGGAUAAUGUCGAUAGGGGCGGGGCCUCCGCUUGGGGAAACUGGUACAAGGGGAACUGUGUUGAAACCUGGGGCUGGUGUUGAUGCUUGUGGGGAUUGAAAUGGUGAGAGUUGUGCUGAGGUGGAAGUGGAGUAGAAGAGGAUGCAAAUUAUUAGUUGUAGAAUUGAACAAGAGAAAAGAAAUUGUUGCUUCUUCAUUGUUGAAGGUUGAGUAGAGAUUAAUGUGUAUGACACUUUGAAAUUACUACUUAAUAGCACUUGAUUUGGGUGUCUCGGUGCUAUCAAGAAAAAACCGAUUAUCCAUAAUAACUUGGUAUCCAAAUUGAUCCAUUUUAAAAAAACCAAAUAAAAUAUUAAAAUAAAAAUUUGAAAAUCCAUUUUGUUAUCCAAAUAUAAACCGUUAUAUAUUAUAGAAAUUUUGAUUUUGUUAUUGGUUAUCCAAAUUUUACUAUGCGAUAAACUUUUAUAUUGGUAUGUUUUCAUGUUUUAUCACGUUAUAAAUCAAUUUUAUAUUUUAAAUUUUAUAAAAAAAUUAUUUUAAAAAUAAAAAUCAGAUUUUUUUCUUUUCACAAAAAAUAAAAUAUUUGGAUUUUUUUUUCGAAAAAAUUAUAUUUGAUAUUUAUUUUUCAAAUAAAAUUAUUAUUUUUUUCUAAAUAAAAAAGAUAUUUUUUAUCAAAAAUAUUUUGUAUUUUUUCAAUAAAAAAUUGUUUUUUAAAAAAGAAUAGAUUUUUUUAAAAAAAAUUUUCAGAAUAUAAUUUUAUUAUUUUCAAUUUUUUUUCUGAAUAUUUAUUAUUUUUUUUUAUGUUUUUUAAAUUUUAAAGAAAAAAAUAUUUUAAAACCUCAUAAAAUUUGUUUAUGAACAAUUACGAAAGAUUUUAGAAAUUUGAACAAUUUUUUUGAUGAGUUAUUUAUUUUAUGAACAAUUAUGAUUUAUAAAGAUAUGAUUCAUAAUUAUUUUAUUUUAUUACCGUUUUUAUGUAACACAUCACUUUUGGAUUGUUUUUAAUCGAGAUAUUAUUUGUGGUGAUUAUAAAAGUCAAAUUUAAAAUAAUUUUUUAAAAUAAAUAUUUUUUUUAUAUAUAAUAGUUUUAUAAUUAGUGAAAAUAAAAAAGUUAGUUAAAAGAAAAUAAAAUUAUUUUUGAUAUAAAAUUGAUUUUUUAAAAAUAUUGUUUUAAAAACUAUUUUAUUUUAUAAAAUUGGUUUUGAAAUUGAUUUUUUUAAGAGAAUAAAAAAUUGGUUUUAAAGAAAUUGAUUUAAAUUUUUUUUUUUUUAAAUCGGAUUAAAACCGAAUCGAUCCAUAUAUAAACCGAUUUCUAAAAAAUAAAUUGGUUUUAUGAAAAUGGUUUUAAGAACCAAACCGAAUCAUAUAUACGGUUCAAUUUGGUUUGUUUCAUGAUCCAUGCACACCCCUAGGAAUGAGGGAGAAAGAAUGGCUUUUAUUGAGGAUGUUAAUACUUGCAAGGUUUAGUUUAGUUGGAAAGAAAAUUGGAAGUUAUCAUAUCAUAUCAUAUGAUUCAUGGCAUCAUACAGUUAUAAGAUCAAUUAUUUGAUGCGGAGGGUAUAUGAAAAUGUGGUAGGAAAAUGGGCUUUUGAUCUGUUUAGAGGUUGAGGUUUUCCAUCAGCCAGAAAGAAAAGGAAAUAAUCAGAAUACAGUUUAUCUUCCUAGGUGGCACUGUCUGAGAAAGAUUUGUCAAUAAGGACUGAGGAGCUAAGAAACAAACAUUAGACCUACCUUACUCUCAGAUCAGAUGUUGCUCGCAGACUUUCAGUUCAUUAUACCUAUAGCAGUAAUUAGUUAAGAAAAUAGUAUUUAGGAGAAGCUGGAAAUGUCAAAUAUUAAGAUCUCUUGAUAAGUUUAUACAGUAUACUAAAAUUUUAAUAACAGUUGAGACUAUUUUCUUGAUAUUUUUUCUGCAUUGGAGUUGCGUGACAUGACAACAAUAUGCCAGAAGAGUUUCCAUUGUGGAACGAUUUUUCGGCAAAAGAAAUGGGAACAAUUAAAAUGACGAAGUGGCAUGUCUGCAUAAAUUGUUUGGAAGUAUACAUAAAUAGCAGCCAGGGCUUAAGUCCAUUGUGAAAUCUCAUUGUGGAGAGAGAGUGAUUCUAAAAUCUGAUUGACAUGAUUCUAGAUAACUGCAUCCAUGGAGACAGGGUUCUCACUUUGAUGAGGCGGUAUCCGCUACCUUUUAGCGUUAGGUUGGCAGGUCCGACGUACUUGGUAGGAGGAAAACAUAUGUGCAAAUUUACUGGCAAAUUAUAGUUUCUAAGAGUUCUUUGUUGUUUUGAGGUAGAGACUCUUUCAAAUGAGUUUUAUGGUUUGUGUUUUUUUAUGAUAUAUCUAGUCUGUAUAUGCCCGGGACGGUUUGUUUAGGCGCUUAGCUUUUAGUCUUCUGGGCUUAAGCACUCAUUUUGUGUCAAAAACAAAGUGAUUAUAAUCAAUUAUUAAACAUCAUAAUAAAGAUUGUAGAUUGUAAAGUAAACAUUCUUUCACCAAAACAAUAUGUUUUCUAUUUUUAACAUGAACAAAAUCAGGAAAGUGUUCACACUUCACAACCUCUCAAACAACAAUCUUCCCAUGACAAUACAAAAAACGAAACCAAGAAAGAAAAAAAAGAGCAUAAUAGAAAUUCAAAAAACAAAACAGUCUUCAAAUGAUUUACUCUUCAUCAAUUGAUCAUGGUUAGUGCAGCAACAAAAAGCGACACAAACAAUGUUCCUUGAAGACAAAUCAAAUUGAUAGCACCAGAAGUAGCCUUAGUUGUCACAUCCUGAUCAUCAUCUGAAGAUGAAUCCUUAGCAGCUUUAGGUGCUUUUGCUAUAAUAGGAGCCGCAGCGAGAGCUUUAGGCUUAGAGAAAUCCAAAGGAAUAAGCACCUUAUCAACAUGAUAUAUAGCAAGUGUUUUGUCAGAAUAAACAAUCCCUGUGAGUGUAGCAUUAACAGACCCAGUUGAAAUAUUCACAUUGUUUCCAUAAGCAGUCACAUUUAUUUGAUAACCAGAAGGACUAUCACUUGCAAGAGUGAGCACAGGAUUACUUAGUGAAUCAAAGUUUGAGCUUGAGACAUAAACAGGAAGAACAUGAAACUGUAUCAGUUGUUUCUGUUGGCGUUCGCGGAGGGAAUUAAAGUAUCCGGCUUUGAGCUGCGAAAAGGCACCGUCAUCGGGUGCAAGAAUGGUUAAACCGCCGGAUUUUGUUGUCACCAGCUGUGCGUUGAUUUGAUUGAUGAUUUGCGUGGUUUUGAGCAAGCGGAUCAGUGUGUUGAAUGAUUUAGCUUUUCUUAGGAUUUUGAUGAUGUCUUGACCGGAUGAAGAAUCGGAGGAGGGUGAUUGAGGUAAUGAAGGGACUAAUGGUUUUGCGGGUGCUGCUGCUGGAGCUGGUGUGGCAGGGGCAGGUUUUGCUGGAGGUUUAGGUGCUGCUGCAGGUGAUUCAGCUGAAGUGGUGAUGAAAAAGAUAUGAGCAAAUAGUACUAAGAGGGAAAAGAAGAUGAUUUGCUUCAUCUUUUUAUACUAGAUAGUUUUGAUGCUUUUGAAAAGGUGGUAAUGAGAGGUAUGAGUAUUUGGUUUGUGGAAGUGUAAUGGAAGAGAGUGGUUUUAUAGAUGCUAUUAGUGAGUGAUGAUUAGGUGGCUGGUUUUUGUAAUAUGAAGGUAUGAACAUAGGUUAUACAGAAAUGAUAUUUCUACACCCCUUUCUUACAUCUACACCAUGAACAAUACUUUUUUAAUUUUUUAUUAUUAAGUUCUCUCUGAGUUUUUUUUUUAAUAUCCAGAUUUUUUUAAAAAAAAUCAAGAAUACACAUUUUUUCAAAAAAAUUAUAAAAAUGGGCAUUUUUUGCCCUAUUUUUCUACUUGGGCGCCACCCUAGUUGGCGCCUACCCUUAAAUAUAUAUAUUUACUUAUUAAUUUAAUUUAUAAGUAAUUAAUAUUAUUUAUAAAUUUUGGGGAGAAUUAGGGUUAAUCAUGUUAAGGUUAAUUUAUCAAUUAUAAUUAGGGUUUAUUGAUCGGUUAUAAUUAGAGUUUGGUAGUUAUGACCUAAUUCAAACCCUAAUUCCCCAUAAGACUAAUUAAUCAAGUGAAAAGAGAGAGAGAUGUUUCGCUACAGGCACUGAAGGGACUUUUUCGACCCCCAACCCCACAACGGCAAACCGGCAAGGGGCGACCCCGCGUUAAGGACUUAGGGGUUGGGGUAAAUAGGGGAAGCCCCAACGCACCACCGACCGUGAAUCUGUGCCUUUGAGGCGAGUAAAUUUAAAGACCCUCCCCCGUGGCGGAGUCACAGUACAGGGACCGCAUCCAUAUGUGGAUAAAUCCGCAAAUUAAUUAAUAUCCAUUUAAUUCUUAUCUUAUAAUAUUUGUCUUGUGUAUUAUAUUAAAUAAAAAGUAUUGUGUUUAUUAUCUUAUAUCUAUAUUCUUAUCUUUAUCUUUAAAGAUAGUUGUUCUAUCAUAAUCCUUGUUAUAUAUAGUAAAAUAGAUUACUAUAUAUAUAUAUAUUAUAUAUAUACCUAUAGAUAUAUA